Molecule: long non-coding RNA, 57922 nt
Filed under: Gossypium barbadense (sea-island cotton)
Lineage: Eukaryota; Viridiplantae; Streptophyta; Magnoliopsida; Malvales; Malvaceae
Description: long non-coding RNA (GBAR_LNC000674)
Source: RNAcentral
UCAAAAUUAAGGUGUAGGGGAAACACGGCCGAAACACAUGCCCAUGAGGCAAGCCAUGUGUCACACACGGCCUAGACACACGCCCGUGUGUCUACCCAUGUGGACAAAAUAAAGGCUACUUACCAAGCCAUUUGUUACCCUCAUUUAGUCCUACACAUGCACAAGUUCAAGGCAUAAUUCGUAGCACACUCAGACAACCAAUACAUCCACAAAUAAGGCCAAUUCAUGUCAUUUCAUUAUCCACACUCAACAUAUUUACAGUAUUAUAUUUUACCAAACCAAAUCAUACCAAACUCACAUGCUACAAGUUUCAACAUGGCUACCAAUAACAUGCAUAAUUUUUAAUUAGUUUUCCUAGCAUACCAAUGAGUCAACCUUAACAUUCAACAACAACCCAUUAAGCCACAUUCAACCAUUUAUCGAGCAUUUACAAACCACAUCACAUAAGAGAUAGUUGCUCAUACAUGUACGUAUAUAUAUAAACUUACAACCAAUUCAACCGAAAUAAGCCAAGUUACAUGGCUAAAUACCACAUCAAGCCUUUGAUAAUUACAAGCCAAUACAUUCAUCCAAAUUUAUAAUGACACAUCUAACAAAAUGACCAAGCCCCUAUACAUAACAAAAUGACCAAGCCCCUAUACAUUCCAUAUUCUCAAAAUGAUUAAAAUCAUCUGUUGUAACACCCCUUACCCGUGUUCGACACUGGAACAGGGUAUGAGGCAUUAUCAGACAUAUACACAUGCAAUCGUAUAAAAUCGGGCCAUGAAUUUGAGUUCAAAUUUAAAACUUUUCACAUGUCAUCUUAAAUCCCUAAUAUGGGCCUACGAAGCCCAAAUCAUGCUUUGGAAACAGUUCGGGACCAAACCGUGGACUUUAGUAAACUUUGAAAACUUUCAUGAAAAAGAAGUGCACACUCCCGUGUGAUAUUAGGACACAUCGUAUGGCUCGCAUGGCCAUGUCCCUAGCCCGUGCACUAUUCUGACUUGCCGUUGUGAACAAAUUUACAUCACACAUAGAUAUCACCACUCAUUCAUCCACAUAUUUAAGCAUACACAUCCUUGAAAUGCAUCAUCAUGGACUUAUAAUAUAGCCAAUAUACCAACAUCAAAUGGCCUUACACAACAAUGAAUUUCAAAUAGCAUAGGCCAACAUUUUAGGCCAAAACAAUUAAGACACAUACAAAAAUAACCAAGUCCCUUAUACAUUCCAUGACCUUAAGUAUAAGAUUUAUCAAUACCCAAUUUUUUAGUUGAUAGUGUGAUAGGUUCUCCGGCGACUUCCAACCCAAGCUAACCUGAGAACAUUAUAAACACAGAAAAUAAAUAGAGUAAGCUAUAUAGCUUAGUAAGUUUGUAUGUAAAUAAUAAGAAAUUUAUUAAAAUGCUUUUACCAAUUCUCCCCAUAUGUUCUCAAGAUAAUACAAUCAUAACUGCACAUAGUUCCACUAUUUACUCUUGUUCAUCUUAAGUUGUCUACUCGAGUCAUAGUCACUAAAUUAUUUAUAUCUUGAGCUAUGGAACUCCAAAUUAAGAUCCACUAAUUUUCCCUAAAACUAGACUCAUAUAUCUUCUUACCAUAAAAUUUUUAGAAUUUUUGGUAUAUCCAAUAAGUAUAAUUUAUUCUUCAAAGUCUCCCAUUUUUUUCUGUACGACAGUUCCGAUCCCUCUUCACUAAAAAUUAAUUAUCUCCUCAUACAGGAUUUGGAUGAUCUUACUAUUUGUUUCUUUUGAAAAUAGACUCAUUAAUAAUUUUAAUAAUAUAAAUUAUAGCCCAUAAUUAUUUUUUUACAAUUUUUAAUGAUUUUCCCAAAUCAGAACAGGGGAUUUCGAAAUCAUUCUGACUCUAUCUCACAAAAAUUCAAAUACCUCGUAAUAUGAAAUUCUUUUGCUUAAACCGUUUCUUUUAUAUAAACAUAUACUCAAUAAAUUUUAAUUUCAUAUCUUAUUCAAACUAUAAUUCAAUUUUCACCAUUUUUGAUGAUUUUUCAAAGUCACACAACUGCUGCUGUCCAAAAUUGUUUUAUUGCUAAUUUUACUCUCUUAGUUUUCUUUGUGUUAACUUUCAUUCAACAUUCAUAUAGAUUUUGUACGUACCUGUCUCACUUAAAUUAGUUAUACUUUGAUUUUUUUUAUCUUGGCUAUGUCAGUUGAUACACUUAAACCUCAACGAAAACACAUUAUUUCAAUUCAACAUCAAAUAAUAUUAUUGGUUCAUAAUCCUUUCACAUUUAAUCAUCACAUAGUCAUAUUUGUUUACACUUAGUCAUUUCCCAUUGAACACAUCAAAAUAAUAACGGAUACACGGUGGCCUUCACAUAGUACCAGCCUUGUAGCCAAAGGUAUUUUAUUCACAAAGUGGCCUUCACAUAGUACUACACUUGUGUCCAAAGCUAUUUUAUUCACAAAGUGGUCUUCACAUAGUACCACACUUGUGUCCAAAGCUAUUUUAUUCCUAAGGUUCAACCGGGAAAUUUCUCACUUAGCACAAUGCCAUGGACUUAUUUCACUUAGAUGCCAUGGACUUCUUUCACUUAGCACAUUGCCAUGGACUUAUUUCACUCAGAUGCCAUGGUCUUAUUUCACUUAGCACAAUGUCGUAUGCUAGAUAUGGUCUUACAUGUGAAUAACUUAUUUCACUUAGCACAUUGCCAUGGUCUAACUACUGUCAAUUCAUAUUUCACUACGCAACGAUCGUGAUCGAUCUUACGUUUUUACUCAAUUCGAGCGUUUACUUUAAUUUUCACAAUUUAAUCAAAAAUAUAAUAAUAUUGCAUAAUUAAUACAAAUCAAUAACAUUUAUUAACAUUUGAACUCACCUCAACCUAAAAUGGCAAAAAGGACCAAAUCGUCCAAUACUCUUUUUUUCCCCCUUCUAAGUCUAAACUUCAUUUUUCUUAAAUCGAGCUUGGAAGCUUGAAAAACCCCAGCCAUGGUUUCCCCUUGUGAAAUUCAGCCAUAGGGUUGAAGAUGGAAAAAAAUUGGCUUUUAAUUUUAUUUUUAAUUCAUUUUAAUUACUAAAUGACCAAAAUGUCCCUAACUUAAAAAUAUUCUAUUUCACCUAUUUCAUGUCCAUUUUUGUCCAAAAAAUUAACCAAUGGUCUAAUUACCAUUUAAGGACCUCCAAUUUGAAAUUUCAUAACAAUUGGACACCUCUAACAUGUAGAACUCAACUUUUUCACUUUUUAUAAUUUAGUCCUUUUGACUAAAUUGAGUGCCCAAACGUCGAAAUUUUCGAACGAAAUUUUCACGAAUCAUUCUGUGAAAAUAUAGACCAUAAAAAUAUAAUAAAAUUAAAUAUUUUUUCCUCAUCGAAUUUGUGGUCCCGAAACCACUAUUUUGACUAGGCCCAAAAUUGGGCUAUUACAACUCUCCCCCCUGUAGGGAUUUUCGUCCCCGAAAAACUUACCAGAAGAAAUUGCUUUCAACUAUCAUGAAUCACUUUCACUAAUUUUCCUAGAAUUAGAAACCAUAUCAACCUCGUAUAUCUCUUUCUAAUCACCUUUGAACUUUAACACAUAGUGUCAGAGCAUAUCGUCAAAGUUUUGAAUUAAUUUCUCAGGCUUAUCACUGAUUUACAGGUGUAUUAUCGUGCCAAGAUGCAACUGCAUACUCAUAGUUUCCUUUAGCCCUUUCCAUAAUUGGGAUAUAGCCCUCGGAUCUCUAUCCGUAAAAAUAGAGACUGAUACUUCACAUAAUCGAAUAAUCCCAAAAAUAUGUUACUCGGCUGGCUUGUUAAACAAGAAAUCUGUACAUGACCGAUCAAUCACAAUUAGAUAACAUCUUCCUUUUUGGAGAUAAAGAUAAUUCAGAUACAAAAUCUAUAGUAAUUCUAUCUCAUAUCACAUGUAACAUCCCGAAUUAAGGCCUAGUCGAAAUAGUGCUUUUGAGACCAUAAAUUUGAUAUAUAAAUAAUUAUUUUAUGAUUCUCAUGAGGUUUAUGUUAUGAAUGCAUGCUUGUGUGAAAGUUUCAUGAAGAAAUUCUAUGCAUAAAAUGUCUAAUUGUAUUUUAGGGACCAAAUUGAAUAAAGUGUAAAACUUGCAUUCUAGAAGGUCUAAGCAUGAAAUUGCAUUAGAUAUUGAAUUAGAGGGUCCUGAUUAUCAAUUUGACGAAUUCUAUAAUUUUGGACAAAAAUGGACAUGCAAAGAAAAAUGUGAAAGAAAAACCCUAAGGGCACUUUGGUCAUUUGGUAAUUAAAAGAAUAAAAAAGGAAAAAUAAGUCAAAAUUGGUGUUCAUCUUCUUCCUUCAUUGCCAAAAUUUGCAAGACACCAUAACUAGGUUUUGUUCAACAUUUCCAAGCUUGAUUGUAAGUGCAUCCUAGCCCUGUUUUUAAUGUUCUUUGCAUUUUUUAAAGUCCUUGAAGCAUGAUCUACCCAUUUCUAGCUAUAUUUUGAGCUAAGGUUCAUGUAUAAAAUUUGAACCAUGUGUAACAUGCAUGUAUUUUGAUGAUUAAUAGAGGAAUAUGAAUGUUUGAUGCAUGAUAAACAUCUUUUACUAGGUGAUUUUUAGUGAAAACACCUAAACAAGGGACUUGUUUGUAAAAAGUGUAAAAGAGAAUAGUAAUAAUCUGAAAUAAGAGAAAAAAUGGGCUAAUAUAAGCUUAGUAAAGGCUUGGCUAGGCUUGGGUAACCAAGAAAAUGCAUGCAUUUCAUUUUACGAGUCUAAGGACCAAAGUGUAAAUAUGUGAAAGUUUAGGGGUCAAAAUAUAAAAUUUCAGAAGUAUGAUUUAUGGACCCAUUUGAACAAUGUGAAUAAUAAAUAAGUUAAACCUGGCAUUAUAGAUCUAGAAAAAUGUGAACCAGGACUUGAUCGAGGGAAGAAUAAAGUACACGACGAUUAGGCUCGUUUAUUAUCAUUUUGUACCGGGGUAAGUACAUAUGCAAAUAAUGUGGUGUUGUAGUAUUUUUAAUGCUUUAAUAUAUUGUAAUAAUUUUUUUAUUGAAAUCAUGAGUUAUAUACUUACUAAUAGUUAUGAAAGCAUGAAUGUUAUUAUGGUCGUUAUCCACAACGUUACGAGCAAGUACAAUGGAGAUACUAUAUGCAAGUGUGACAUCCCUAAAUUGACCCUAGUCGGAAAGUGGUUUCGGGACCACGAAACCGAGUCUUAUAAAUAAUUAAAGGUUAUAUUCUGUGUUUAUGAUGUGCGUAAAUGCUUGUGUGAUAGUUCCAUACUUUAAUUUGGUCAGUGUAUGUGAAAUUUAUUAGUAAGGACUUAUGUGAGACAAUUUAGAAAUAUGCUAGGCAAGUGUUCAAGUGGCCUAUUAAUAUAUGUGGGAAAGUGCUUGUCCUUGCAUGUCAAAUUAGCCAAAUUAAAGCAUAGUGGUCGGCCAUGCUAUGGGUGGAAACAUGUCACAAACAUGUUAUGUUAGUGAUGUAUGUUAGGAAAAAUAAAAUAAAGAGCAUGGUAAUAAAAUAAUGAAAGGUAAUAUGAUGAAAAAAAAAAAAGAAAGAAUGUGUGUGAUUGUUUCCCCCCCCCCUCCAUUGCCGUGAGUUGAAGGAAAGAAAACAAAAAAAAAGUGUUCAUCCUUGAACAUCUUUGGCCGAAAACUUUAAGGAGAAAGGAAGAAGAAAGGUUGAAGAGGUUCGGCCAUGCAUAUAACUAGGCUAAGGUAUGUUUGAUGUUGCUCCAUGAGAUUCAUGUAUAUUUUAGUUGUUAGCUUGAGUCCUACCUAGCCCAUGGUCUAAAUCUUUGCUAUGUGAGGGAGAUGAUACUCGGCCAUGGGUGUUGUCUUCUUGGUGGAUGCUAGAUGUUGUGUUGGUGAGGUAUGAAGAUGUUAGAGUGUGUGUGAGAAUUUGAAAAAAAAAAGGUAGGUCUUAGCAACUUCAUGAAGCAAUCGGCCAUGGUAUAUCCAUAAGUAUGAUUUAUGCUUGUUAUGUUACUCAUGGUUAAAAUGAUUCGGCUAUGCUUCAUGUAAAAAUAAAAUAUACAUGUGAAUUCGGAUAUAUGUUUAUAUUUGGUUAAUGAUUUAUCCUUGUGGAGUAUAAAUUUGUAACAUGAUUUGAGUUGGAAGUUAUUGUAAUGUAUUUGUGCAUUCGGGUACAUGGUGAAAAUAUAUGAAAUGGUUAUAAUCAACCUUAUGAUUCGGCUCUUGCACAUAUAUAUAUAUGUUUGCACAUGAUGUAUUGGUAUGCCAUUUAUGUGUGGUAUUAAGUAUAUAAUUGGCCUCAACAUAUACAUGCAUACUCGGCCACAUGAGAAGAUUAGUGUUGCAUGUAUUCGGUUAGAGGCAAGCAUAUUGAUGCCUUUAUCUUGGUUUAGACAAUCGGCUAAAAGGGAGUGUGGAUUAAUAUGUUGAGUUGAUUCAUGAUUUCACAUGUAUGUGACUUUAAUGUCUAAUGUAUAUAUAUGGGCUAAGUACCUUGAGUUUUUCUUUUCGAUGCUCAAAUGAUUAAAUCAAUUUAUUUGUUAAAUUAAGCUCAAGAGCAAAGGGGAACUAAAUCCGAUAAAGGGAAGGAAAAAGUGGUCGAAUAGCCAUCGAAAUCGUUCGACAACAUCCGAGGUAAGUUUUCGAGUAACGAGACUUAGUUAUCGAUUUGAUUAAGUCAUGAUGUAUGAGCAUAACAAAUAUGCGGCGAUAUGAUGAUUCUACUUAAAUCAUAUGUUGAGCUAAUUAGUCUAUACGUAUGACGGGUAGCCGUAUGUGCAUAGAGAUAGUGUCAUAAAGCAAAGUAAACCAUGCUGUUUGUAUGUGGCUAGUGAGCCGAAAAUGGGUUUGCUUAAUACGUGACUUGUGUUUGAACUCCAAUUAUGAAAACGAAAUAUAGAUGUGUCAUGACUUAUUGAUAUGUGUGUGAAUAUUUGGAUGAUAACCGGGCUAAGUCCCGAAGGCAUUUGCGCUAGUGACUAGUUCCGGGCAAGUCCCGAAGGUAUUGGUGCGAGUUACUAUAUCCGGGCUAAGUCCCGAAGGCAUUUGUGCGAGUUACUAUAUCCGGGCUAAGUCCCGAAGGCAUUUGUGCGAAGUACUAUAUCCGGGCUAAGUCCCGAAGGCAUUUGUGUGAGUUACUAUAACCGGGCUAAGUCCCGAAGGCAUUUGAGCAGUAGCUAUAUCCGGCUAAACCCCGAAGGUACUUGGUUGGGAAUGAGCGAUCUUGCUGUAAUAAUUUCAAUUAAUACGCUCGUAAAAUCCCAACGAUGAGGUACAUUUCGUAUAUGCAUUUGAGUAGCGAUUCCGUUUAAAUAUUAUUCGCUCAGUUGAUUAAUGAGUUUCCGGCCUUUGGCUAAGUUGAUCUUUUUUUUGUGUGAAUAUAAGGGUUGGUAAUGUGAAGUAAGUAUGAUAUUGAGAAUUUGUGCAUAUGAAACUAUCCAUUUAGCCAUAUGAAUGCUACAUUGUAGUUGUGUCUAAUUUUAUGGCUCAAAACUUACUAAGCAUUAAAUGCUUACUCCGUUUCUUUGAAUCUCUGUUUUAUAGAUUUUGGUUCGUUAGCUAUCGGAUUCGGGAUUUUUGGAAGUCGAAGUCUCCCACACUAUCAAAGCCCCUUUUGGUACACUUUUGGUUGAAGUUCGAAAUGGCAUGUAUAGGACACCCUUUUUUUUGUUAUUAGGCAAGUACUUUGGUGUUGUAUAUAUUUGGAUAGCCAUGCGAAAAUGGUUUAUAUAUAUUUUGAGUAUAAUGUUAUAAUCAUCUUGAAUGUAUAUGUUCAUUAAGAGGCAUGGAAAUGUUUGGCAACGAUUAGCCAUUAGAAUGGUUCAUCAUGAUUAUAUUUUGGGCUAUAUAUGCUAAAGGGCUAGUUGAAUCAUGGAAACUAUGAAAUAGGUAAAGUCUACCUUAAAGGUAGAUGCUGACAGCAGCAGUGAUGUAGAUUUGAAAAAUCACUAAAAAUAGUAGGAAUGGAAUUAAAUAGUGAAUAAAUUAUUUAAUCAAACCUUGAUGAAUCUACUUUCACAUGGAAGAAACGAAACGAUCAUAUAAGUUGUAUGUUAAGAGAUAUUUAGGUUUUCACGAAACAGGGCCAGAACGGUUUCUGGAUUCCCUGUUCCGACUUUGGAAAUUCUUCAUAAAUUAACCAGAGAUAAUUAGAAGUCAUGCCUUAUAUUUAUAGAUUCCUUUUUGAGUCUAGUUUCAUUAGAAACAAACUACAUCAGUAUUGAAGCCCUGCACAGGGAGAUAUCCAAGUCGUAGUGCGUGGAGGUCAGAGUAGUCGAACCCUGAAACAGGGGACACUUUAACUAAUAAACUGUACUAAUUGGCCGGACCAAAAAUUCUAGAAAAAAAUUUGUAGAUUUAUAUAUGAGUCUAGUUUCAUGGAAAAAUUACAAAACUGAUUUUCGAGUUUUGGAACUCAAGAUAUGAUUUUUAAGGUGACAGUGACGCAGUUAGUCAGCUGUCUGGAAAUUUUCAAAAUGGACUGUGAAAAUAAGUGAAUUUAGUCUGUGAACCCCUCGUGUCCGACUCCGGUAACGGUCUCGGGUAUGGGGUGUUACAGCAAGUGAGGAAAAAUACCAUUUGAACCUUAGGAAUAGUUUAGGAUACACGUGACAUGUCACUAGGAACUAAGAAGUUCGAACUCGUUGAGUGGUCCGAGUUCGUUAGAUAUGUGGCAUUCGAGCUCGUAGAGAGGUCCGAGUUUAUUAUGGAUGCGAGCAUCCGAGCUCGUUGAGAGGUCUAAGUUCAUUAUGGAUGUGUUACAUGUUAUGUGGUAGCCUCGGCUAUGCUUGUAUACGUGGCACAUAUGUGCAAGGUUUCCACGUAUCCAAUAGUAUUUUGAGAGUUCAACGGGUAAUGUAAUAAAUGUAAUGGGAGUCCCGAGAAGGACAAAUAAAAGAGGUAUGGUUAUGGAUAUUUUAUGAUGAGUACAGGUAUGUAUGCUAAACCUAUGAGUAAUGCCUUAAUAAAGAUCGAUUUAUGAUGAGCAAGUAUAUACAUGUGCAUAUGAUGAGUAAGCAAAAAGGUUUGAAUGAUGAAUAAUCUUUAUGUAUACGUUGCUAUGUUUCUACAUGUCGAUUACUUACUACCAUUUCAUAUUAUUUGUAUGUGGACUUACUAAGCUUUAAUGCUUACUCCCCUCUCUUUCCAUCCUUUGUAGUUCUGCCAAACUAGCUCGGGGAUCGGAAGCUAUUGGAGUAUUCGAUCACACUAUCAAAAGACUAUUGGGUAUAGUGAAAUUAUUAUUUUGAGUAUGGCAUGUAUAGGAAACUUGGUCAUUUUGUGAUAUGUGUCAUGUUAUUUGGCCUAAUUGUGAAGGCCUAUGAUAAUGAUGAUUCAUUUUGUAAUGGCCAUGUGAUAUGGCUCAUAUUUGAUCAUUUGGGUUGUAAUUUCAUUACCCAUGCAUGCAUACGCUAGCGUUUUGAUGGUAGGAUAUGUUAUUGCUUGGUGAGUGCAUGGUAAUGGAGUGAUAUAUUGUUGAGCGAUGAAUGUAUGGUAAAGUAUGAAUCUGGUGCUAAAGGAUAAGGGGUGACCUAAUAGCGUAAAAUGACUAUAUACAUGAAUGUUCAAUUUGAAGUUAUGGUAACAAGUGUAAUAAUGCAUGAAAUUGGUGUAGAAUUUCUCUAAGUGGUGUAACAAAUGAAUGUGCAAUAGGAUGACAUUAUGAAGAUGUGAGAGUGCCAUGGUAUAGAAUAUUUGAGUGCCUAAAUAUGUCAUGUUGCAUGUUAUAAAGUAUGUUUUAAUGUAUGGGUGAUUUUUGGGUGACUAUUGGCUUGGAAUAUAGCCUUUAAAUGGUCCACACGGGUAGACACACGGGCAUGUGUCUAGACCGUGUGUGACAUACGGGCAUGUGUCUAGACCGUGUGUGACACACGGUCUACCCCAUGUGCAUGUUGAAUGGUCGUGUGUCCCCUGCACCUAAAAUUUCUAAGUCAGUAUGCAUGGUAUUAAACACACGGGUAGAGACACGACCGUGUGUCUCAACCGUGUGGAGGACACAGCCUAGCACACGAGCGUGUGCCCCUAAAUGAGUGAUGACAUCAUAAACAGAAUGUCCAGGUUUUUGGACACGGGCAAUGACACUGGCGUGUCUAGGCUAUGUGAGGGACACAGGCGUGUCUAGGCUGUGUGAAAACCCCUAUAAGUUCAAAAUGAAAAAUAAAUAUUAGAAAUUCCCCCACGGGUAUGGGACACGGGCGUGUCCCAAAGCACAUGGGCGUGUUCAUUACCUCUACACGGGCGUGUAAGGCUUAAACCUAAAAAUUUUCUUAGAAUUUUCUUAAGUUCUCGGUUUUGUUCUGGAUUGCUUUUAAUGUAUGUUUUGGACCUCGUAAGUCCAUAAUAAGGAUAAUAUGAUCUUUCUUUAUCCGUUUUUAAUUUGGAAUGAAAUUUUAUGACCCGUAUUUUCUGGAAAUGCCUUGUUUAUGUACAGUAAUGCCUCGUACCUUGUCCCGAUCUCGGGUAUGGGUAAGGGUAAGGGGUGUUACAUUUAGUGGUAUCAGAGCUAUAAUUUAGUCAAUUCUCAGGCUAACCUAGCACAUUUGAGUCUAACUAUACAUGUCAUACAUAUAUAUAUAAGUAAUGAUAGUGUGACGACUUCUGACAAUAUUAAAAUGUGUUUUCAUAUAGCCAAUGGAUCCCGACAGAGCAGUGGCGGAUGACAUAGAAAGUAACGCACCUGCUCCAGCAGAAAGAGCGGUGCCAUCUGAAAGUAGGCCCAAAAUUGUCAGUAGAGGAGAAUGAGGCAGAGAGGCCUUUCUCCAUAUUAUGAAUGCAUGGUAUACGGAGUUCAUUCGAAUGAACCCGAAUGCUUAACCUCCCCCACCUCCCCUAAAUCCUCAACUCGCACCUAUGAUGCCUCAACAUAUGGAUUUCAUGAAAUUUUCUAGAGCACCUAUUGAUAGAAUUCAGAAAUAAGGUACCGAGAAAUUUAGGGAAAAUGCUAAUGAUGACCCUGAAAAAGCGGAGUUCUGGUUAGAGAACUCGAUACGGGUAUUUGAUGAAUUGUCAUAUCCUUGUUGAGAGAUUCAGUGUAUCAUUGGUGGAGAAUGCUGAUAUUUGUAGUACCACCAGAGAGGGUUACUUGGGAAUUCUUUCAAGAGGAAUUUUGAAAGAAAUACAUUAGUGAAAGAUUCAUCAAACAGAAGCGUAAGGAAUUCCUGGAAUUGAAACAAGGUUGUAUAAUAGUCAGUGAAUAUGAGAGAGAAUUCGUCAGACUUAGCAAAUAUGCUCGGGAGUAUGUACCCUCCGAAGCUAAGAUGUGUAGAAGAUUUGAAGAUGGGCUCAAUGAGGAUAUUAAGACAUUAGUGGGUAUUCUCGAGUUGAAAGAAUUUGUGGUACCUGUUGAACAGGCUUGUAAAGUCGAAGACUUGGGUAAAGAGUGGAAGAAGGCCGAGUUUGAUGCAAGCGAUACAAGAAAGAGGUACAUAAGUAAGUCAUUGCCAUCCCAAUCUAAGAAAUCUAGAGAGAUGUAUUAUCAUUCACAUAUGUCAGCUGGACAUUCAUACGGGAAUCGUAGAAAGCAGAAUUCAGGUUUUAGAUCUCAGGCUACGUCUGUGGCAAGCGUGGGAAAAGCUAAACCUACCAAGGCUGAAUGUCUGUAAUGUGGUAGACGUCACUCUAGCAACUGUAGAGUGAGUGAAGGAUCAUGUUUUAAAUUUGGUUCUUUAGACCAUUUUAUUAAGGACUGUCCCGUGAUGAUGGAAAAAGAAAUAUUUCAGAGUCCAAGAUAGAGUGGCUCAGAUUCUUGGGAAAGACCCUCGAGAAAUGUUGAGAAUGAGUCCGGUACUAAUAGUGUGACACAAGAUAUAGUAGUAAAGUCUAAAGCUAGGGCUCUGGCAAGAGCCUAUUCCAUACGCGUACGUGAAGACGCAACUUCUCCUGAUGUGAUCACUGGUAAAUUUUCUCUUUAUGAUACUAAUGCUAUUGUUUUGAUAGACUCUGGCUCCACUCAUUCGUAUGUGUGUAUGAAAUUGGAAUCUAGUAUGAAUAUACCUGUCGAGUCUACAGAUUUCUUAAUUAAGGUGUCUAACCCAUUAGAAAAGUAUGGGGUAGUUGAUAAAGUAUGUAAGAAAUGUCCUUUGAUGGUUAAAGAUCAUUGUUUUCUGGCCAACUUGAUGUUGUUGCCGUUUGACGACUUUGAUGUCAUACUGGGUAUGGAUUGGUUGACACUAAAUGAGGUUAUAGUGAAUUGUAGACAAAAAGUUAUGGAAUUGAAAUAUGAAAACGGUGAAAUUUUUUGGGUUGAAUCAGAUGAUGCAGAUAAGUUACCAAUGAUGAUUUCUUCAAUGAUUGCUUAGAGAUACUUCAGAAAGGGGUAUAAAGCUUAUUUGGAAUAUAUAUUGAAUACAAAAGAAUCCGAAUUAAAAAUCGAAUCAGUGUCAGUUGUGUGUGAGUAUGCGGAUGUAUUUUCGGAGGAAUUGUCAGGUUUUCCUCCAGUUAGAGAAGUGGAAUUCAGUAUUGAGCUAAUUCCAGGGAUGGCACCCAUCUCUAUUACCCCAUAUAGAAUGUCCCUGACUGAACUGAAAGAACUGAAGUCACAGCUGCAAAAGCUGACCGACAAAGGUUUUGCGGGACCAAGUUUUUCACCGUAGGGUGCUUCCAUAUUGUUCGUGAAAAAGAAGGACGGCUCUAUGAGAUUUUGCAUUGAUUACCGGCAACUCAAUAAGGUGACAAUCAAAAAUAAGUAUCCUCUUCCAAGGAUUGAUGACUUAUUUGACCAGCUGAAGGGAGCGACAUGGUUCUCUAAGAUAGACUUGAGGUCUGGAUACUACCAGUUACGAGUGAAAGAGUCUGAUGUGCCUAAGACUGCCUUUAGAACGAGGUCUGGCCACUAUGAGUUUCUUGUUAUGCCAUUUGGACUAACGGAUGCUCCUGCUGUGUUUAUGGAUUUAAUGAACUGAAUUUUUUGGCCAUAUUUAGAUAAGUUUGUUGUAGUGUUUAUUGAUGAUAUUCUGAUUUAUUCUAGAGGUGAAGCAGAGUAUGCCAAGCACUUGAGAACUGUUUUAUAAACUCUGAGGGAUAAGCAGUUAUAUGGAAAGUUUAGUAAAAGUGAGUUUUGGCUUCGAGAGUUUGGGUUUUAGGCCACGUUGUUUCAGGAGAUGGUAUAAGAGUUGAUCCCAGUAAGAUUUUUGCUAUUGUUGAAUAGAAGCCGCUGAGGAAUGUAACCGAAGUUAGGAGCUUUUUGAGUUUAGCAGGUUAUUACAGACAAUUUGUGAAUAGAUUUUUUAUGAUAGCCACCCCAAUGAUGAGGUUGUUGCAAAAGGAUGUUAAGUUCGAGUGGACAGAGAAGUGCCAAUAGAGUUUGGAGAAACUGAAAGCAUUGUUAACAGAGGCACCAGUGUUAUUACAAUAAGAAUCAAUACAAUCAGAAUCAAGGAAAGAAUUUGUGAUUUAUAGUGAUGCAUCCUUGAAUGGACUAGGUUGUGUCAUUAUGCAAGAAGGUAAGGUAGUAGCUUAUGCUUCAAGGCAACUGAAGCCCCAUGAGAAGAACUAUCCUACACAUGAUUUAGAAUUAGCCGCUAUUGUAUUUGCUUUGAAGAUUUGUAGCAUUACCUAUUCAGGGAGAAAUGCCAUGUCUAUUCAGACCAUAAAAGUCUUAAAUAUCUGAUGACACAAAAGGACUUGAACUUGAGGCAAUAAAGGUGGCUUGAAUUGUUAAAAAAUUAUGAGCUUGUGAUAGAUUAUCACCCCGGUAAGGCAAAUGUGGUUACCGAUGCCAUAAGCAGAAAGUCUUUGUUUGCUUUAAGAGCUAUGAACGUACGACUAGCCCUAUCUCAUGAUGAUGCUAUUCUAACAGAGUUAAAAGCUAGACCGACUUUUCUUCAACAAAUUUGCGAUGUUCAAGAAGCUAAUAAAGAUUUACAAGCUAAAAAAGCUCAGUAUGAGUCGAGCAGUGAAUCAGAUUUCCAGAGAGGUCCUAAUGGUUGUCUGAGGUUCAGUGGAAAGAUUUGCGUUUCGAAGAAUGCUAAGUUGAUUCGGGAUAUUUUGCAUGAGGCUCAUAAUGGAGGUAUGUUAGUUCACCCGGGUAGUACAAAAAUGUACAUGAUUUAAAGAAAAUGUAUUGGUGGAAUGGCAUGAAAAGAGAUAUAUCCAAAUUUGUAUCGAGAUGCUUGAUUUGCCAACAAGUAAAGGCUGAACAAUAGGUACCUUUAGGUUUACUUUAGCCUAUCUUAGUUACCGAAUGGAAAUAGGACAGAAUUACUAUGGACUUUGUGACAGGCUUGCCGUUGACACCAAGAAAGAAAGAUGUCGUAUGGGUAGUGGUUGACAGAUUGACUAAGUCGGCUCAUUUUAUAACAAUACGCGUUGAUUAUUAACUUGAUAAGUUAGCUGAACUAUAUAUUUCUGAGAUUGUGAGACUUCAUGGAGUACCUUUAUCAAUUAUUUCGGAUAGGGAUCCAAAGUUCACUUCGCGGUUUUGGAAGAAGUUACAAGAAGCUUUGGGUACGAAGCUGAAUUUUAGUAUCGCUUUUCAUCCAUUGACUGAUGGACAAUCUGAGAGAGUAAUUUAGACACUUGAAGAUAUGCUUAGAUGUUGUGUACUUGAAUUCCAAGGUAGUUAGGAAAAGUACCUACCUUUGGUUGAAUUUGCCUAUAACAAUAGCUAUCAGAUAAGUUUAAAGAUGACACCUUAUGAAGCACUGUAUGGACGUAAAUGUCGUACACCAUUGUAUUGAACUAAGCUCAAGGAGAAUAAGAUUCAUGGGAUAUAUUUGAUUAAGGAAAUCGAGGAAAAGGUGAAAUUAAUUCGUGAUUGUUUCAAAGCAGCAUCGAAUAGAAAAAAGUCAUAUGCAGAUUUAAAAAAGAAAAAAAUUGAGUAUCAGGUUGGUGAUAAGGUAUUCUUAAAAGUAUCCCCAUGGAAGAAGAUUUUGAGAUUCGGUAGAAAAGGCAAGUUGAGUCCUUGUUUUAUAGGAUCGUAUGAGGUUACCGAAAGGGUAGGGCCUGUUGUUUAUCGAUCAGCUUUACCAACUGAAUUAGAAAAGAUUCACGAUGUGUUUCAUGUGUCCAUGUUGCGCCACUAUAGAUCUGACCCUACACAUGUGAUUGUACCGACAGAUGUUAAGAUCAGUCCGGAUAUGACUUAUGGUCAGGAACCUAUUAAAAUCUUGCUCGGGAAGUCAAGCAAUUGAGAAACAAAAAUGUUGCUCGUGUGAAAGUUUUAUGGCAAAGACAUGGGGUUGAAGAGGCUACAUGGGAGCCUAAGAAGGCCAUGAGUAAACAAUAUCCAAACCUUUUUACCGGUAAUAUUUUUGGGGACAGAAAUCCCUAAAGAGGGAGAGUUGUAACAUUUUUUCGUGGAUACAAAUCCCUAAAGGGGGAGAGUUGUAACAUCCCGAAUUAGGGCCUAGUCAGAAUAGUGGUUUUGAAACCACAAAUCUGAGAUAAAAAUAAUUAUUUUACGAUUCGCAUGAGGUUUAUGUUAUGAGUGCAUGCUUCUGUGAAAGUUUCAUUAAGAAAUUCUAUGCAUAAAAUGUCUAAUUGCAUUUUAAGGACCAAAAAAUGCAAAACUUGCAUUCUAGAAGCUUUAAGCAUGAAUUUGCAUUAGAUAUUGAAUUAGAGGGUCCUAAUUAGUAAUUUUACCAAUUUCUAUAAUUUUGGACAAAAAUGGACAUGCAAAGGAAAAAUGUGAAAGAAAAACCCUAAGGGCACUUUGGUCACUUGGUCAUUAAAAGAAUAAAAAGGGAAAAAUAAGUCAAAAUUGGAGUCCAUCUUCUUCCUUCAUUGCCAAAAUUUUCAAGACACCAUAGCUAGGGUUUGUUCAACAUUUCCAAGCUUGAUUGUAAGUGCAUCCUAGCCCCGUUUUUAAUGUUCUUUGCCAUUUUUGAAGUCCUUGAAGCAUGAUCUACCCAUUUCUAGCUAUAUUUUGAGCUAGGGUUCAUGUAUAAAAUUUGACCCAUGUGUAACAUGCAUGUAUUUUUAUGAUUAAUGGAGGAAUAUGAAUGUUUGAUGCAAGAUAAACAUCUUUUACUAGGUGAUUUUUAGUGAAAACAUCUAAACAAGGGACUUGUUUGUAAAAAGUGUAAAAGACAAUAGUAAUAAUGUGAAAUAAGAGAAAAUAUGGGCUGAUAUAAGCUUAGUAAAGGCUCGGCAAGGCUUGGGUAACUAAGAAAAUGCAUCCGUUUCAUUUUACGAGCUUAGGGACCAAAGUGCAAAUAUGUGAAAGUUUAGGGGUCAAAAUAUAAAAUUUCAAAAGUAUGAUUUAUGGACCCAUUUGAACAAUAUGAAUAACAAAUAAGUUAAAUUUUUUAUUAUAGAUCAAGAAAAAUGUGAACCGGGACUUGAUCGAGGAAAGAAUAAAGUACACGAUGAUUAGGCUCGAUUAUCAUCAUUUUGUACCGAAGUAAGUACAUAUGCAAAAAAUGUGGUGUUGUAGUAUGUUUUAAUGCUUUAAUAUAUUGUAAUAAAUGUUUUAUUGAAAUUAUAAGUUAUAUGCUUACUGAUUGUUAUGAGAGCAUGAAUAUUAUUAUGGUCGUUAUCCACGACGUUACGAGCAAGUAUGAUGGAGAUACUAUAUGCAAGUGAAGAAAUGAACCUUAGGAAUAGUUUAGGAUACAAGUGACAUGUCACUAGGAACUAAAAAAUUCGAAUUCGUUGAGUGGUCCGAGUUCGUGAGAUAUGGCAAUCGAGCUCGUUGAGAGGUCUGAGUUUAUUAUAGAUGCGAGCAUCUGAGGUCGUUGAGACGUCCGAAAUCAUAAUGGAUGCGAUUCAUGUAACAUUCGAGCUCAUUGAGAGGUCCGAGUUCAUUACGGAUGUGUUACAUGUUAUGUGGUAGCCUUGGCUAUGCUUGUAUAUGUGGCACUUAUGUGCAAGGCUUCCGCGUAUCGAAUAGUAUUCCGAGAGUUCAAAAAGUAAUGUAAUGAAUGUAAUGAUAGUCCCGAGAAGGACAAAUGAAAGAGGUAUGGUUAUGGAUACUUUACGAUGAGUACAAGUAUGUGUGCUAAAACUAUGAGUAAUGCCUUAAUAAAGAUCGAUUUACGAUGAGCAAGUAUAUACAUGUGCGUAUGAUGAGUAAGCAAAAAGAUUUGAAUGAUGAAUAAUCUUUAUGUAUAUGUUGCUAUGUUUCUGCAUGUUGAUUCCUUUCUACAUUUCAUAUUAUUUGUAUGUGGACUUACUAAGCUUUAAUGCUUACUCCCCUCUCUUUCCAUCCUUUGUAGUUCCACCAAGCUAGCUCGGGGAUUGGAAGCUGUCGGAGUAUUCGAUCACACUAUCAAAAGCUAUUGGGUAUCGUGAAAUUAUUAUUUUGAGUAUGGCAUGUAUAGGAAACUUGGUCAUUUUGUGAUAUGUGCCAUGCUAUUUGGCCUAAUUGUGAUGCCUAUGGUAAUGAUGAUUCAUUUUGUAAUGGCCAUGUGAUAUGGCUCAUAUUUGAUCAUUUGGGUUGCAAUUUAAUUACCCAUGCAUGCAUGCGCUAGUGUUUUGAUGGUAGGCUAUGUUUUUGCUUGUGAGUGCAUGGUAAUGGAAUGAUAUGUUGUUGAUCGAUGAAUGUAUGGUAAAGUAUGAAUCUUUUGCUAAAGGAUAAGGGAUAACCUAAUAGCUUAAAGUGACUAUAUGCAUGAAUGCUCAAUUUGAAGUUAUGGUAACAAGUUUAAUGAUACAUGAAAUUGGUGUGGAAUGUCUUUAAGCGGUGUAACAAAUGAAUGUGCAAUAGGAUGACAUUAUGAAGAUGUGAGAGUGCCAUGGUGUGGAAUAUUUGAGUGCCUAAAUAUGUCAUGUUGCAUGUUAUAAAGUAUGUUUGGAUGUAUGGGUGAUUUGUGGUGACUAUUGGCUUGGAAUAUAGCCUUUAAAUGGUCCACAAGGGUAGACACCUGGGAAUGUCUCUAGACUGUGUGUGACACACGGUCUACCCCAUGGGCAUGUUGAAUGGUCGUGUGCCUUGGCUGUGUGCCCCUAAAUGAGCGAUGACAUCAUAAACAGAAUGUCCAGGUUUUUGGACACGAGCGAUGACACGGGUGUGUCUAGGCCGUGUGAGGGACACGGGUGUGUCCUCAGUCGUUCGAAAACCGCUGUAGGUUCGAAAUGAAAAUUAAAUUCUAGAAAUUCCCCCAUAGGUAUGGAACAUGGGCGUGUCCCAAAGCAAACGGGCGUGUGCAUUACCUCCACACGGGCAUGUGAGGCUUAAACUUAGAAAUUUUUUUAGAAUUUUCUUAAGUUCUCAGUUUAGUUCCUGAUUGCUUUUAAUGUAUGUUUUAGACCUCGUAGGUCCAUAAUAGGGAUAAUAUGAUUGUUUGAUCGGUUUUUAAUUUGGAAUGAAAUUUUAUCACCCGUAUUCUCGGAAAUGCCUUGUUUAUGUAUGGUAACGCCUCAUACCUUGUCCCUGUCUCGGGUACGGGUAAGGGGUGUUACAUUACAUCAAGGUUAUCACUGACUACAAUAGACCUUAAUGCUCUUAAUAUUUUACUUAUAUCCAUUAUCAAAUCGACAUUUGAGCAUAAACUCAAAAAUAUCAGGUUACAUACCCAAUCACCAAAACAUCUAUUUCAAAUAACUGCACAUUUUAUUACUCCCAAAAUGAACUAAUGAGCUACUACUGAGCCUCGUACAAAAAUUUCAUGCAUAAGCUCUGAAUUCAUCUGCACGUAAUUUCUAUCUCAGAACAGUAACAUCAAUCUUCAGGUCAGACUUGAAAUUCAGAAUCAAAAUUCGACUCAUACUGAACUCGUUUAACUUACCAUUCAUUUGUACUUUUCUGAGAUUCUCAAUCUUGUAAUGAAAACAUCGCUUUAGUUUUUAAUCUAGCUAAAAUCAGAUCAUCAUCAAUUAAGAUCAAUCGUGUAACCUACUCACAAAAAAAACAAAGAUUUUUCCAUUCAGUAUCUGUAACUAUAUCUGCUUUCCCAGAGAUUAAUUAAUAACUACUCACAAUCUUCCAAUAGUUCAAGUCUUUAACAUUAUCUUAACUUCAGAUCUUUCUAUGACAUUCGAUACUUUAAUUCUUGAAAUCAGGAACAUGUGACACUUUUCGUUGAUUAGACUAUAUCACCAAAUUCUUAAUAUGGACAUAAAAGAGACCGUCUCUAAAUUACUGGUGGAACAGUUCUUUUUAAUGUGACAUUAACUGUAUAAAAACAUGAACCAUCACUUUACAUUCUAGUAAUAAAACACAUUGCAACCUGUUCAAUAGUGAAUCACUGAAAAAUCUUAAAUUCAUUACUCAAUUCAAACUGAACUCAGAACCAGAGCUUCGGUUAAUAAUAUCUUCAACUAUUUUCAACUUAGCUAACAUGCAUAGACCAUCCAAAUUUUCAUAAAUGUGAUAACCAUAUCAUUCAGAAUAGCUUUAACUUAUAAUAACAUCAUCAUAUUAGAACAAAUCUAAUAGGUAUAUCUCGGUAUCGUGCUCUCUAGAAUAUCAAUCCUUCAUUCAAAUUGUCCAUCGAUAUACUCGUGAAUGCACAAAAUUUAUUACCAUAACUGAGGAUACUUUAACUUCAUGUAACUCAAUCACAUUUCAACUGACCAGAUCAUUUGAUAAAAACAACUGAUUCAAUUUCGACUAUCAAAUAAUAACAUAACAAAAUGCUCCUUUCUUCACGCUAUUAAAAUCACUCAAACACACAAUCUUUCAAAAUUCUCUUAUCAUGCUAAUCAAAGACCUUUAUGAUUGCAUUUGCUCAAGGAAACAAAAUAUCUCGAUUGAACUCAUUAGCUUUAAUCAAACUUGCCUGGGGAAAGAAAACUAUUAUACCAUUUGAGUUUGAACUUUCACUAUCCAUACCUCUUCCGAUUGUAAUUUUUUUCACAAAAAUUUAAGGAAUCCUGAUGCCAGAAUCACCAUGUUCCCCGUGAUCAAACCAAGAUAACAUCCAUAACAGACAUAGCCAUCACAAGUUAAAGAAUACACAUACUAAAAGCCUGAGAACACAAUUCAAAAGGAAAUAGUAAUAAAGACCUUGACGGUUCCUCAGAAAAUUCCAGAAGAAAUUUAUGCGGAUUGUAACAAAGGUAACAUAUUUACAAUUAUACAUAUCUUAACUAAAUCAAUGCUCAGUAGUUGUAGAAUUAUAGCCUCACAUAAUUUUCACCAUUAACUUUUCAUAUCAAACAUAUUAGAGUAGACUCCAAAGAGAACGAUAAGAUAUACUAAUCAUCAAUCAGCCAAACCACAGUGCUUUCAUCUAACAUUAUUAUCAGCCCUCAUUCUCAUACGGUAAGAAUAUCAUCAAAUAAUGAACAAUCACACAUAUAUAUAUAUAAUUCCCAGAAGAGAUCAUCAUAAUCUACUCAAUCGCUAUUGUCAUUCUCAAACAUCUUUACAAGUCUUAAUUCGUUUCUCUAACCAUUUUUGUCAUUACCAAUCUUGUAACGCCCCGAAUUUGGGCCUAGAAGUAUUAGGUUUGAGCAGGGGUACAGUUAGGAGACUGCACAUACAUAUUUAAUUGUGCAAGGAAGUGACACAAUUGAGUGUUUGGCUUAAUGGUUGUGUUCUCUGGAAGUGCCUGGGAAGUCAUGGGUUCAAGUCCUAGCUUCCACGAAAUUUUGGUUUUUAAGGAUAAAACCCCUAUCUUUGGUCAAUAGGGUUAUAAAUAAAAUUUGGUAAGGUAUGACACAAAGAGCCUAGUGAUCUAGUGGAUGUCGCAUGUUGAUGGUUCCCUUGAGGUCUAAGGUUCAAGUCAUGGCAAGGUAAAAAGAGUAUUUAUUUUGCUCUCUUGCCAUGUGAGAAGUAGAAGCCGACUAGAACUUUGUAGGUAGGAUGUUUGAAUAAGUCAAUUAAGAAAUUCUAGGAGUAGAAUUAGGAAUGUGGAUAGGGAGUUGAUCGUUUGGAGUGAAUUUAGGAGAAUUAUGAGGGAUUUCAAAUGGAAGGAGGAGUUGUGGCUGAAUAGGGCAUUGAUCACUCAGGAUUUCAGCUAUAGGUUAGUUGUGGUCACUUCAUUAUGGGUUUUCUUGGCAAAUUGUGAUGAUUUUCACUCUUCACCUUAUAAGUCGAGCUUUACUUUUCUUUUCGUACAUCUUUUGGUAGGGUGAUUCGAUUCUUCUUCCCUCCCUUUCCAGUCUAUUGAAUAGGCCUAUUACCCUAACCACUGUUUCAGUUUUGAAUAGGUACUUCUUGACUCCAUGUUGCCUUUUCUUUUUCCCUCGCUCUAUUCCUCCUUGGUCGAAUAUACUCUUUUCUCUCUCUGACUCCAACAUUACACUCUUGACCGUAUACCUCUGGCGUUUGUGGCUGUACUUCUCUUCCUCCCCUCUCAAUCGUGCUAUUUUCUUCCGCUUAAACCGAAUAUCUACUAUGUUAACUGGGCAACGUCUGGAUUGGAGUCAAGGCUGACUUUUGGUUAGUUUUUUCUUCUCUAGGGGCCACGAUCUCUAUAGCCAAGGGAGUUAGGCUGAUUUUCCUUUCUUAGUGAGUAAACCUGUCGAUUCGUGGUAAGUACUUUAGGUAGUAUUUAUUUAUAAAGGAUUAUAACUUCUGAUGAAUCUGUUAGAGUGUUUCUCAAUACUUUGGUUUGGAUUUUCCACGAAUAUGACUAAUGGUGGAUCGUUGUGAAUCAUAGGUGCUUUGAUCUUGAAGGGUGUGUCAGCAGUUUCACAACAGGUGCACCCAAUUUUGCUACCGUCAAAACGUCAGAUAAACGUGUGUAUUCACACAUUAAAUAGACUGUAGAACGGUAAAAGACGAAGAGCCAAAAAACAGAAAUAAUGGCUUUUUGACCACAUGGGUGUGCGAACGCACAUGUGGUAAGCCAAGCCUAGGAAUCAUGGGCGUAAGACUGGAGAGGCCACCAUGAGCGUUCUCAUGGGCUUAGGCCGUUUUGGGCCUCGAUGGGCCAAAAUAGGCCGUAUGGGCCCAAUGAGCUUGUGGGCUCCACACGAGUAAAAUCAACGGUACGUGUUAAUUACUGACUUGGGCCGUGUAAUUCGCAUGGCCGUGGUAAAUUUUGGCUAAAUGGGCCACACGAGUGUGUGGGCCUACUUGGGCCAAGUAGUGGGCCUUGGGCCUAUUUACACCGUUAUGAUCAUUUAGGUUAUCUGUGUCACUCGAGGCGACUGUAGACCUUUGGAGAGGUCGUUAUCUGAGCUGAAACCCUAAAAUAUGUAAAAUAACCGUCAUACCCCUGUAAAGUAAAAUGACCGUUAUACCCUUGUAGGGUAAAAUGACCGUAAUGUCCCUGUAGGGUAAAAUGACCGUAAUACCCCUAUAAAGUAAAAUGGCUAUAAUGCCUUUGUAGGGUAAAAAGAUCGUAAUACCCCUGUAUGGUAAAAUGAUGAUUAUGCCCUUAUAUUUCGUAUGACUGAUAUGCUUAUGAUUUACAUAUAUGAUUGUACUAAAUAUGACUUUGCGUUAUGACAUGACAUACUGCAUAGGGUUGGGAUUUUGAUAUGGAGGAAGUACUAUAUUAGUGGCUUUGCCACGUAAUUACUGAUACUGGUGGCUUUGCCACAUUUACUGUUUCUGGCAGCUUUUUUGCAUUAUUAUUACCGGCAGCUUUGCUGCGAUAUUGGUGUGCUAGCUAAGUGGGUCGAUUUAUAUCCCUACAUAGUGUGUUGGUUGGUACAAGUGGUGUGCUAGCUGGAUUUGGGUGGGAUGCAUAAUUGCAUUACACUGUACUGAUAUUGUAUUGGGCUUAGGCCCACACUGUUAUUGUAUAGGGCUUAGGCCUAGACUGUACUGUUACUAAAUAGGGCUCAGGUCCAGAUUGUUACUACGUGCAUUGUUUACUAUUUGACUAAUAGGGGAUUACACACUGAGUUUUCGUAAACUCACCCUUUAUUUUAACUGUGCAGGUUGUAACACCCCGAACCCGAAACCGACACCGGAGUCGAACACGAGGUGUUAACUGACUUUAACCCCUUUACAAAAUUUAUUUUCCAGACACUGCCCAAUCUGUGUACUAGUCGUUUUUAAAAUCAUAUCUUGAGUUUCGUAACUCGAAAAUCAGUUUCGUAAUUUUUCCCAGAAACUAGACUCAUGUUCCCAUCUAUGUAUUUUUUUCUAGAAUUUUUGGUCGGGCCAAUUAGUUCAGUUUAUUAGUCAAAGUCUCCCAAGUUGCAGGGGUCGACUACACUGACCUUUGCCUAUUACGACUUGGAUAUCUCCCUGCACAGAACUUCAAUACUGAUGCCGUUUGUUUCUAUAGAAACUAGACUCAGAGAGGAAUCUAUACAUAUAUGGUACGACUCCUAAUUAUCUCUGGUUAAUUUAUAAUGAAUUUCCAAAGUCGGAGCAGGGAAUCCAGAAACCGUUCUGGCCCUGUCCCACGAGAACCUGAUUUUCUCUUAACAUACUGUCCAUAUGAUCUUUUCAUUACUUCUAUAUGAAAAUAGACUCAUCGAGCUUCGAUUACAUAAUUUAUUCAUCAAUCAAUUCCAUUCCUACUAUUUUUAGUGAUUUUUCAAUUUCAUGUCACUGCUGCUGCCAGCAUCUGUUACGAAGGCAACCAUGCCCACUUCAUGUUUACUCCUUGAUUCAACUAAUAAUUCCUCAUGCAUAUCACAAAUUAUGAUCAUGACUAACCAUGCCAAGGCUAAUCAUUGUCAACUUCUCCCUACUACAUUAUUGCCAUAUCAUAAAUUUUAACACCAAAAAAAUUUACCAUGACAUAUGGCAUAAAAAGGUCGAAUCAUCAAAAUUCACGACCUAACGUUAUGAAACCAAACCCAACCGAACAUUUAUGCCAUUUUCGCAUGGCUAAAAGUUUACAUACCAAAGUUCAAACACAACAUAAUAGCCUAUACAUGCCAAAAUGUUCUUCUAAGCCAACUAAGAAGAAAGUACCAAAACUUGCUAUCCGGUGUGAUGACUUCGAUGACGGCCUGACCCCGCGAAAAUAGAUGAGUCCAAGCAACCUAUAAUGGGUGACAAGGAAACACCGAGUGAGUUUAUAACUCAGUAAGUCAUAAGCAAUGCACUACCCUCCAUCAAUAACAUUAUCACAAGAGGAAACAAAAUGGAACGAGACAAUUUACUCCAUCCAUACCGAACCAUACCAUAGUUCCUCCAACCUAUCGGUUCAAUUUCAUAUCAAUUCAUGCAUUCACAAUCCAUAUACUCAUCAAUAGGACAUUGAAGCAUUUUCAUAGAUCAAUUUAUUUUCGUUACAAUCAAACAACAAAACGGCCUUUCACCCAUCCUACGAUAAAUUUUAUGUACGUGACUUCAAGUAUAGUUGUCACAUAGGUUCAUCUUACCGAGCUCAACACCAAGUAUAAGCAUAGCACAUAUUAGCCAUGUACUCAAGACACUUACCCGAUCCGCUGUCCGCGAUCGACUCAAUAGUGUCGCACACAUAGUGUCCAUAAUGAUUCACGAAUGUAUAUUGAGCCCGCACACUCAGUGCUAUAUAAUCAACUCGCACACUUAGUGCUACGUAAUCAAAUCGCACACUUAGUGCUACAUAGUCAAACUCGCACACUUAGUGCCGCAUGGUCAAUUCGCACACUUAGUGCAUCAUAUUCAUUUCGCACACUUAGUGCAACAUAGUCAAAUCGCACACUUAGUGCUGUACAAUUUAAUCCCGCGCACUUAGCGCCAAUCUCAUGGUCAUAAAUGGUUGUCCCGCACGUUUAGUGCCGAGAUCAACAACUCAGUACAUCUUACCUCUUUUCGUUCAUUCAACAAUUUCAUCAUCACAUACGUACAUGCAUAUAUAUAUAUGUAUAUUUAUUCAUUCCAUUCAGCAUCAAUACAUAACAUUAUGACCAUUGAAAUAAUACCAACUACAUGCUUAAUGACUUACCUCGUGUUGGGUAAGACGGUUCCAACUCGGCUACUCGAUAACCUUUUCAUUGCCUUUGCUCGAUUCACCUCCUUUAACUCCUUGAGCUAAAUCAAUAAUUUAACUAGUUUAACCACCUUGCUAAAUAUUUACAAUCCAAUUUCACAUGUAUAUGUAUGUUAGUAUAUUCGGCUAAUAACUUCAUGCAACUACCAUAUCAUCAAAAAUCUAAUCACACAUGCACAUACAUUAGGUAAGUUACCUUUGCUAAUUUUAAACCCAACAUCACACAAGCUCUCAAGAGAUGGCCGAAUGCCUCUUUUGUUACCCAACUAAUCAUUCAACAAUUCCAUCCCCUUUACCACCCUUUUAUGCCUAAUUAUCUAAAUCAAGAUAAGAUCAUCAACAUGCCUAACCAUAGCCGAAUGUGCAACAUUAAUCUAUCACCUCUAUCUCUUAAAUACUAUCAAGUUCAUUUACUUCCAAUUUCUUAAGUUCAACAUCUUAAUGCCCAUUAUAGCCACUUCCAUAAUCUACAUUUAAAAAUCGGCAACACCCACAUUCAACUAUCUUUGCCGAAUACUCCUCAACACUUAGACCAAAGUAUGCACAUUAAACUUAAUACAACUUUCAUUAUACCUUUCACCCUAAAACAUAAUUUAUAAAUCUUGCCCUUCCUUCCAUGUUUCGGUCAAUUAUUCAAAUUACCUCAUAGCAUGAACAUUUUUUUUUCAACUAAUCUAGCAUGACUCAUUCGGCCUUAACAAUGAACCUCUUUUCAUACAAGGACAAAAAUAAAUCAAAUGAACCUUCCAUCUAAACCCCAUUCUAUCUUCUACUCAUUCAAUAAUACAUGUAAACAACUACUAAUUCUAGUACUUUGAUACACGGUUUAGUGCCCAACCAUCAUAAAAGUUUGAAUCCUUCUUAAUAUUAUCAAAAUACAUUCACAAAUUGACUUAAACAUAUAAGAAGAUUUAACUAACACUUUAAAACUUACCUCCUACUAGCAAGAAGUAGUGCCGAAUUGCCUAAAGGAGAAUUUUCCUUUUUCUCUUCUUUGGUUUCGGUUUUGGCAAGGUGGAGAAGAAUAUGAACACUCCUCUUCCCUUUUUCUCUUUCAUUCCAUUUUAUUAUAAUUAUUUUAAGUCAUUUGUUAACUAAACAAAACAUAAUAAAUUAGAAUAAGUGGAGCACCAUCACUCCUUGGCCGGCCACCCAUCAUCUUUUGGGCAAUUUGACAUGCAAAACCACUCUUUUUGGUACAUGCACUAAUAGACCAUUUUGAAUUAGACUAUCAUAUUUUUACAAUGUCUCAAAUUGAUCCCAAUUAAUAAUUUCUCAUGCAAUUGGUAAAAUUAGGGAGUGAAACUUCCACAUACUCAUGUUCACACAUAAUAAGCAUAGAAUAUAGCAAGUAAUUAUUUUUACGACUCGGUCUUGUGGUCCCGAAACCACUUCCCGACUAGGGUCAAUUUUGGGCUGUCACACAGGUAAUCCUCAGCCUUAAACGGUUUGGAGCUGCGAGGGACUCGGAGGUGGCCAAACGAUUGCGGAUGUUCUACUUUUGACUUUAUUUAUUUAAAUUUCAUAUUGGGUUUUUGAUUAUGUAAUAAGGUCAUUUGUGGUUUUAACUUUUAUUUGGGCUUUGAUUUCUUACCUUAAACUACUAGACUAGGAAAAGAUGAGUUUUCAAAAUAAUAAGUGUUUUCAAGGAAAACACGUAUUUUAAACUUCAAGGUUUUUAAAAGUUUUCGCGAUUUUAUUCAGUUUAAGGAAUCAACGGUGAUAAAUAUGGCAAUCGUUUUGACAAAUUUAUUUCAAUUAGUAACAACUUAAUUUGCCAAAUUCUCUCAGGCAAUGAAAAUUAAAAGGGUUUUAACUUAUACAAGUCCUAUUUUUGAAAAGCACUUCGAUGUGAGACGCCAGAUUCUACCAUAACGUCUAGGCCAGGUUUGGAGGGUUACAUUUAGUGGUAUCAGAGCCAAGUUACAAAACUCAACUGUGGAAUGGGUUUUGAAAAGUAUUAGGAAUUUUUGGAAAGCAGUUCUUGAAGUAUUUUUGGAAGGUUUACCCGUGUGGCACACCAAGUCUCCAACGCCAAACCUGUAAGUUCUCUAACAUUGUUUACUAUUAUAGACUGAAAUGUUAUGCUAUAGGUAGUGGUACUAUACUGGAAAUCACAGAGUCUGAGUUAACUGAGACUGUAGGAAAACUGUGACUGUAGAAGACUGAAAACUGUAGUGAGACUCUACUAUUCAAAAACAAAACUUUAACCAUUGCUUGAUCAUAAAAUAUUGAUUAAUAAUUAUUGGAAUUAUGAAUUGAUACAUGGAAAAGGUACAUGUAGCCACGGUAGAGGUCGAGGAAGUGUUAGGGAUGGGUUUUCAGCUUUGGGUCACAUGUCUGCUAGAGAGGCACUAGCUUCACCAGAACAUGAGAUGGUUUAGGAGUCGGAAGUCAAGGUAAGUCCGCCAACUUCGGAUAGUGAUAACCUGGAGCUUGGUACUGAGACACUAACUCGGUUAGUAAGGGAAGUGCUGGAGGAUGUUAAGGAGAUUUGUGAAACACAUCGGGCUAGGUGUGUAGACUGUAAGAAGAAGAGAGGUCAUAGUUCUCUAGGCUGGAGCCUCGUUCUGUGAAGCAUGUUAUAACGCAUCCAAACUUUUUGACUUGUAAGCAUUGCAGAAGGCGUCAUCUGGGCGAAUGCUAGAGGAAGUCAAGAGCAUGUCUCAAAUUUGAGUCUAAAGAACAUAGGGCUUGGGACUGCCAAAUCACUUUUAAGUCAAGUAUGUUUUGUUUGAGUGUAAUAAUUUGGACAUAGAGAUUGCAUGCGUGUAAUAUCUAUCUGCUCCAGUGGGUGAGUGUUUUGUGUAAGAAGUUCCAAGUUCAAGUUAAAGUGUAUUAGUAGUAUUGGGAUCAGAGUGCGCAGCGAGAGCGUAGUGGUGUAGUUGUUACGCGACUACCCUGCUAGUUGGAAAAUUUCGAGGACAAAAUUUCUUUAAGGAGGGGUGAAUUGUAACGCCUCGAAUUUGGGCCUAGAAGUAUUAGGUUUGAACGGGGGUGCAGUUAGGAAACUGCACAUAAAUAUUUAAUUAUGCAAGGAAGUGACACAAUUGAGUGUUUAGUUUAGUGGUUCUGUGCUUUGGAAGUGUCUGGGAAGUCGUGGGUUCAAGUCCUAGCUUCCAUGAAAUUUUGGUUUUUAAGGAUAAGCCCCUAUCUUUGGUCAGUAGGGUUAUAAAUAAAAUUUGGUAAGUAUGACACAAAGAUCCUAGUUAUCUAGUGGAUGUGGCAUGUGGAUGAUUCCCUUGAGGUCUAAGGUUCAAGUCAUGGCAAGGUAAAAAGAGUAUUUAUUUUACUCUCUUGCAAUGUGAGAAGCAAAAGCCGACUAGAACUAUGUAGGUAGGAUGUUUGAAUUAGUCAAUUGAGAAAUUCUAGGAGUAGAAUUGGGGAUGUGGAUAGGGAGUUUAUCGGUUGGAGUGAAUUUAAGAGAAUUUUAAGAGAUUUCAAAUGGAAGGAGGAGUUGUGGCCGAAUAGGGCAUUGAUCACUUAGGAUUUUGGCUAUAGGUAAGUUGUGGUCACUUCAUUUCAGGUUUUUUUUUGGCAAAUUGUGAUUCUUUUCACUCUUCACCUCGGAAGCCGAGCUUUACUUUUCUUUUCGUAUAUCUUUUGGUAUGGUGAUUCGAUUCUUCUUCCCUCCCUUUCCAGUCUAUCGAAUAGGCCUAUUACCCUAGAAACUGUUUCAGUUUUGAAUAGGUACUUCUUGACUCAUGUUGCCUUUUCUUUUUCCCUCUCUCUAUUCGUCCUUGGCGAAAUAUACUCCUUUCUCUCUCUGACUCCAACAUUACCCUCUUGACCGAAUACCUCUGGCGUUUGUAGUCAUACUUCUCUUCCUCCCCUCUUAAUCUUGCUAUUUUCUUCUACUUAAACUGAAUAUCUCUUGUGUUACCUGGGCAGCGUCUGGAUUGGAGUCAAGGCCGAUUUUCAGUUAGUCUUUUCUUAUCUCAGGGGCGCGAUCUCUAUAGCCAAAGGGGUUAGGCCGAUUGUCCUUUCUUAAUAAGUAAUCAUGUCGAUUCGUGGUAAGUACUUUAAGUAGUAUUUAUUUACAGGGGAUUAUAACUUCUGAUGAAUCUGUUAGAGUGUUUUUAAUACUUUGGUUUGGAUUUUCCACGAAUAUGACUAAUGGUGGAUCGUUGUGAAUCUUAGGUGCUUUGAUCUUGGAAGGGUGCGUUAGCAGUUUCAUAACAGGUGUGUAAUCGUACACCCAAUUUUGCUACUAUCAAAACGUCAGAUAAGCGUGUAUAUUCACACACUGAAUAGACUGUAAAACGAAAAAAGCCGAAAAGCCAAAAGAAUGGCCUUUUAACCACAUGGGUGUGCGAACGCACAUAUGGUAAGCCAAGCCCAUGAAUCAUGGGCGUAAGACUGGAGAGGCCACCAUGAGCGUUCACAUGGGCUUAGGCUGUUUUGGGCAUCGAUAGGCCGAAAUGGGUCAUAUGGGCCUAAUGGGCUCGUGGGCUCCACACGAGUAAAAUCAACGGUAUGUGAUAAUUACUGAUUUGGGUCAUGUAGUUCGCAUGGCCGUGGUAAAUUUUGGCUAAAUGGGCUACACGAGUGCAUAGGCCCACUUGGAUCGAGUAGUGGGCCUUGGGCUUAUUUACACCGUUAUGAUCAUUUAGGUUAUCUGUGUUGCUCGAGUCUACUGUAGACCUUCGGAAAGGUCGUUAUCUGAGCUGAACCCCAAAAUAGGUAAAAUAAUCGUAAUACCCCUGUAAGGUAAAAUGACCAUUAUACCCCUGUAGGGUAAAAUGAUCGUAAUGUCCUUGUAGGGUAAAAUGAUCGUAAUACCCCUGUAGGUAAAAUGACCGUAAUACCCCUAUAGGGUAAAAUGACUAUAAUGCCCUUGUAGGGUAAAAUGAUCGUAAUACCCCUUUAUGGUAAAAUGAUGAUUAUGCCCUUAUGUUUCGUAUGACUGAUGUGCUUAUAAUUUACAUAUAUGAUUGUACUAAGUAUGACUUUGCAUACACGUAAUAUUUAUGACAUGACAUACUGCAUGGGGUUGGGAUUUUGAUAUGGAGGAAAUACUAUAUUAGUGGCUUUGCCACGUUAUUACUGAUACUGAUGGCUUUGCCACAUUUACUGUUUCUGGCAACUAUGCUGCAUUAUUAUUACUGGCAGCUUUGCUGUGAUAUUGGUGUACUGGCUGGGUGGGUCGAUUUAUAUCCCUACAUGGUGUGUUGGUUGGUACGGGUGGUGUGCUGGCUGGAUUUGGGUGGGAUGCAUAAUGGCAUUACACUGUACUGAUAUUGUAUUGGGCUUAGGCCCACAUUGUUACUGUAUAGGGCUUAGGCCCAGACUGUACUAUUAUUGAAUAGGUCUCAGGCCCAGACUGUUACUGUUUGCAUUGUUUACUGUUUGACUGAUAGGGGAUUACACAUUGAGUUUUUGUAAGCUCACCCUUUCUUUUAACUGUGCAGGUAAUCCUCAACCUUAGACGGUUUGGAGCCGCUAGGGACUCGGAGGUGGCCACACAAUUGCGGAUGUUCUACGUUUGACUUUAUUUAUUUAAAUUUCAUAUUGGGUUUUUGAUUAUGUAAUAAGGACAUUUGUGGUUUUAACUUUUAUUUGGGCUUUGAUUUCUUACCUUAAACUGCUAGACUAGGAAAAGAUGAGUUUUCAAAAUAAUAACUAUUUUAAAGGAAAACACGCAUUUUAAACUUCAAGGUUUUAAAAGCUUCUACGUUUUUAUUUAGUUUAAGGAAUCAACGUUGAUAAAUAUGGAAAUCAUUUUGACAAAUUGAUUUCAAUUAGUAACAACUUAAUUUGCCAAAUUUUCUCAGGCAAUGAAAACCAAAAGGGUUUUAACUAAAAUUCGAAUACUUAACGACAAGUCCUAUUUUCGAAAAGCACUUCGAUGUGACAUGCUAGAUUCGGUCAUAACGUCUAGGCUGGGCUUAGGGUGUUACAAAUCCCGUAUUAUUCAAUUCACUAACGAAAAUCAAUCCGGAAGAAAUUCCAGCAAACACAUACUUUAGUCAUCAUACUUGUUUAAGUCGAUUAACCGAGAUUAACUUUUUCUCUAACCGUGACUUUGCAAAGUCCAAAUAGUCUUUAGAAUAACCUAGCAUCCUUUCCGAAAUUGUAUUUACUUACUCAACUAUUUUCAACUCUAUCCACAUUAUUAGCAAAGCCGCUACUAAACUCUUUUCACUGGUGAACUCAUGCAGCACAAAUCUUAUGAAAUUUCAUUAUAAGAUAUCACAUUAGUAAGGGGGUGCGGUCGUAAAACCUCUCACUUGACUCUCAUACAUACACAUAUGGCUUAACAUUCAUCAUCAUCAUCACAAUUAUACAACUUACUUCAGGCAAUUUAACACACAUAUUUAUGCUACACUAACUUUUUGAUUAUCUUAUUCAAAUAAGUGCGCUUAUACAUGCAUUCCACAAAUAUUGAGUAAGUUUACUUACUGCAUUCACUUAAUCAUACAAGUCAAACACAUAACAUCAUAUGAAGGUCAAACAAACAUGAAUGCUUAUCAUAAUACAAAUUUGCAUUUUAUGUUACUUUCCCAAAUUUCAAGAAUAAUUCCCCUUUACACUAUUUUAAUUUCAAGGAAUAUUCAAAUAGUAUGCUCAAGGUAUUUAUAUUAACAAUAUAUCAUUUCAUUUUUAAAAAAUGCCCCUUUUUGGCACAUAUUCAUAAUACACACUCUAGAGUCACAUAAGAUAUAACAAUACUACCAGUCCAGGUUAAAGCCUUUUCAUAACAUUUAUAACAUUUUACCCAUUUCAUAAAAUCAUCACAAUAAAUCAAAAUACUACAUUCAACCAAAAUAAUAGCAUCUUACUCAUAAUUUUCAACUUCUGGAUGUUUCAUUUUUGUACCUCAUUACAUACACGUCAUGAACUAUUAUUCAUACCCAUUCAAGUUUCAAUUUAUCACAAAUACAUUUUCAAAUAUCCCAAUGUCAUUUCCAGCAUUUUCAAAAAUAGCUUGGUUUGAAGGCACCUCUGUCUCAACAAAACAAUUUCAUCAGAGUCGAGAGAUAUCACACUAUCACAGUUCAUAUAUGACAUGUAUAGCCAGACUCUUACACAUGCUAGGUUAGUCCGAGAGCUAACUAAAUCAUAAUUCCGAUACCACUAAAUGUAACACCCCUUACCUGUGUCCGACACCGGAAUAGGGUAUGAGGCAUUACUAGAUAUAAACACAUGCAAUCGUAUAAAAUCGGGUCAUGAAUUUGCGUUCAAAUUUAAAAAUUUUCACAUUUCAUCUUAGAGUCCUUAAUAUGGGCCUACGAAGCCCAAAUCAUGCUUUGGAAACAGUUUGGGACCAAAACGAGGACUUUAGAAAACUUUGAAAAUUUUCAUGAAAAAUAGGGGCACACUCCCGUGUGAUAUUAGGACAUGGCCGUGUGGCUCAUGUGGCCAUGUCCCUAGCCCAUGCACUAAUAUGACUUGCCAUUGUGAACAAAUUUACACCACACAUAGAUAUCACCACUCAUUCAUCCACAUAUGUAAGCAUACACAUCCUUGAAAUGCAUCAUCAUGGACUUAUAAUAUAGCCAAUAUACCAACAUCAAAUGGCCUAACACAAUAAUGAACUUUCAAAUAGCAUAGGCCAACAUUUUAGGCCAAAACAAUUAUGACAGAAACAAAAAUAACCAAGUCCCCUAUACAUGCCAUGACCUUAAGUAUAAGAAUUAUCAAUACCCAAUUUGUUAAUUGAUAGUGUGUAGGUUCUCCGGCGACUUCCAACUCGAGCUAACCUGAGGAUAUUAUAAACACAGAAAAUAAACAGAGUAAGCUAUAUAGCUUAGUAAGUUAGUAUGUAAAUAAUAAGAAAUUUAUUAACAUGUUUUUACCAAUUCUCACCAUAUGUUCUCAAGAUAAUACAAUCAUAAUUGCACAUAGUUCCACUAUUUACUCUUGUUCAUCUCAAGUUGUCUACUCAAGUCAUAGUCACUAAAUUAUUUAUAUCAUGAGCUACGGAACUCCAAAUUAAGAUCCGCUAAUUUUCCUGAAACUACACUCACAUAUCUUCUUAUCAUAAAAUUUAGAAUUUUUGGUCUAGCCAAUAAGUACAGUUUAUUCCUUAAAGUCUCCCUUAUUUUGAUGUUUGACAAUUCCAACCCCUCUUCACUAAAAAUUAAUUAUCUCCUCAUACGGGAUUCGGAUGACGUUUCUGUUUGUUUCUUUUGAAAAUAGACUCAUUAAGGAUUUUAAGCAUAUAAAUUAUAAACCAUAUUUUUUUUUGUACAAUUUUUAAUGAUUUUCCCAAAUUAGAAUAGGGGAUUUCAAAAUCAUUCUGAACCUAUCUCACAAAAAUUCAAAUACAUCAUAAUAUGAAAUUCUUUUGCUUACACCGUUUCUUUUAUGUGAAAAUAGACUCAAUAAGUUUUAGUUUCAUAUCUUAUUCAACCUCUAAUUUGAUUUCCACCAUUUUUGAUGAUUUUUCAAAAUCAUACAACUAUUGCUGUCUAAAACUGUUUUAUUGUUAAUUUUACUUUCUCACGUUUUCUUUGUAUUAACUUUCAUUCAACAUUCACAUAGAUUCCAUACGUACCUGUAUCGCUUAAAUCAAUUAUACUUCCAUUUUUUUAUCUUGGCUAGGUCAAUUGAUACACUUAAACCUCAACGAAAGCACAUUAUUUCAAUUCAACAUCAAAUAAUAUUAUUGGUUCAUAAUUCUUUCACAUUUAAUCAUCACAUAGUCAUAUUCGUUUACACUUAGUCAUUUCCCGUUGAACACAUCAGAAUAAUAACGGAUACACGAUGGCCUUCACAUAGUACCACCCUUGUAGCCAAAGCUAUUUUAUUCACAAAGUGGCCUUCACAUAGUACCACACUUGUGUCCAAAGCUAUUAUAUUCACAAAGUGGCCUUCACAUAGUACCGCACUUGUGUCCAAAGCUAUUUUAUUCCUAAGGUUCAACCAGGAAAUUUCUCACUUAGCAUAAUGCAAUGGACUUAUUUCACUUAGCACAUUGUCAUGGACUUAUUUCACUUAGAUGCCAUGGUCUUAUUUCACUUAGCACAAUGUCGUAUCCUAUAUAUGGUCAUACAUGCGAAUCACUUAUUUCACUUAGCACAUUGCCAUGGUCUAACUACCGUCAAUUUAUAUAUCACUACGCAAUAAUCGUGAUCAAUCCUGUGUUUUUACUCAAGUUCUCAUUCGGCCAUAGCACACACAACAUGUUAGCCGAUUUUCCCACUUAACAUCUAAUGCACAUAUAUGCUCAUUUGUCUAGCUCAACUUCACCUAUCUACCAUUACUCAUAAAAAGAACAUGAAACAACAACCAUUUCCUUCAAUUCAAUUCAUGUCCGAAUGCUCACAACACAACAAUUUUCAAAAUUUAAUCAUGGGUUAACUAAGCAAUGCUUUGACCAUGCUAAUUUCGCAAGAAUAUCAAGAAAAUACAUGGAACAUACCUUUGAAUCAUGCUAAGAAAAUGACUGAAUGUGCUUGAGCUUUUUCCUCUCCUUUUUUCUUAAUUUCGGCUAUGAAGAACAAAGAUGAACAAGCUUUGUCCUUUUCAUCAUUUUGUUAUUUUAUUUAUCUUUAUUUUAUAAUAUAAAGCCAUUAAAUAUUAUAAUGCUAAUUUAAAAUGCAUAUAUUGUUUAUCAUCAUCAUUAUGGCCGGCCACUACAAAUUAAAGUGAGAAAUUUGACAUGAAAGUCCACCUAUUUUAAACCAUAAAAUAUUUGGCCACUACAAAUUAACCUAUCACAUUUUCAAAAUUUCUCACAUAAGUCCUAUUUAAUAAUUUCACAUACAAAUGACAAAAUCAAAGCAUGAAAGUUUCACACAUGCACUUUCACAUAUAAUAAGCAUAGAAUAUAACAUUUAAUUAUUUUUGUGACUCGGUUUUGUGGUCCCAAAACCACUUUUCGACUAGGGUCAAAUAAGUGCUGUCACAACUCUCCUCCCCUUAGGAAUUUUUGUCCCCGAAAAUCUUACCAGCGAAUAAAUUAGGGUAUCGUUCUUUCAUGGAGUCUUCAAGCUCCCAAGUAGCUUCUUCAACCCCGUGUUUGACCCACAACACUUUCACUAACGAAAUUGUUUUAUUUCGCAAUUCUUUCACCUCAUUAGCCAAAAUACGAACCGGUUCCUCUUCAUAACUCAAAUCAGACCGAUUUUCUAUCUCUAAUGGACUAAUCACAUGAGAAGGAUCGGAUCUGUACCGACGGAGCAUCGAAACACGAAAAACGUCAUGAAUCUUUCCAAGUUCAGGUGGCAAAAGUAGUCAAUAAGCAACCGGCCCAAUCCGUUAUGUAAUUCCGUAUGGUCUGAUAAAUCUCGGGCUCAAUUUGCCUUUACGGCCAAAUCUGAGUACCUUUUUCCAUGGUGAAACUUUAAGAAACACUUUGUCUCCGACUUGAUACUCUAUAUCUUUCCGUUUGAAGUCCGUAUACGAUUUCUGACGAUCUGGUGCUACUUUCAAACUUUCACAAAUCACUUUUACUUUCUGUUCGGCCUCUUUAAUCAAAUCAACUCCGUAAAUCUUAUUCUCACUAAGUUCGGUCCAAAACAAAGGUGUACGACAUUUACGACCGUACAAAGCCUCGUAAGGUGCCAUCUUGAUGCUCGAUUGAAAACUAUUGUUAUAUGCGAAUUCAAAUCGUUCCCACGAGGCACUAAACUCAAGGAUGCAACAUCUCAACAUAUCCUCAAGUAUCUGAAUAAUUCGCUCGGAUUGACCAUUGGUCUGGGGAUGAAAAGCGGUGUUAAAAUACAACUUAGUACCCAAUGCUUCUUGCAAUUUCUUCCAAAACCGCGAUGUGAAUCUCGGAUCUCUAUCCGACACAAUAGAAGUAGGUACCCUGUGUAACCUUACAAUCUGAGAAACAUACAGUUUGACUAACUUAUCAAGUGAAUAAUCUGUACGUACGGGAAUAAAAUGAGCCGACUUUGUCAAUCUAUCAACAACAACCUAGAUCACAUCUUUCUUGCUUGGAGACAAUUGCAACCCAGAUACAAAAUCCACUGUGACUCGAUCCCACUUCCACUCAGGUAUCAUGAUCGGCUGAAGUAAUCCCGAAGGCACUUGAUGUUCCGCUUUCACUUGUUGACAUAUCAAACACUUCAAAACAAAGUUAGAAAUGUCUUGUUUCAUACCGUGCCACCAAUACUGACAUUUCAGAUCAUUGUACAUUUUCGUACUACCCGGGUGAACUAACAUUCGGCUGCUAUGAGCCUCGUUCAAAAUCAUCAGAAUAAGCUCUGAAUUUCUCGAAACAUAUAAUCGAUUUCUAAACCUUAAACAAUCAUUGCUAUCAAUCAAAAACUCUGAAUUCUCUUUUGAAACACAUAGUGCUCGUUUUACAAUUAAAUCAUCAUCACCUUUUUGAGCUUCACGGAUUUGUUGCAUCAAUAACGGUUUUGCUUUUAACUCCACUACUAAUACAUCAUCAGUGGAAACAGACAGGUGCACAUUCAUUACUCGCAAAACAAACAGUGAUUUACAGCUUAAAGCAUCAGCAACCACGUUAGCCUUUCCCGGAUGGUAAUCAAUGACAAUAUCAUAAUCUUUCAAUAAUUCUAGCCAACUUCUUUGUCUCAAAUUCAAAUCUCUUUGAGUCAUCAAGUAUUUGAGGCUUUUGUGAUCAGAAUACACAUGGCAUUUUUCCUCGAACAAGUAGUGGCGCCAAAUUUUCAAAGUGAAAAUAAUAGCAGCUAACUCAAGAUCAUGAGUCAGAUAGUUUUUCUCAUGUGGCUUCAAUUGUCUCGAAGCGUACGCUACAACUCUACCCUCUUGCAUCAACACAUAGCCCAAACCAUUCAGAGACGCAUCACUAUAGAUCAAAAAUUCUUUACCAGAUUCUGGCUGAACUAACACUGGAGCUUCAGUCAAAAGAGUUUUCAAUUGAUCAAAACUUUUCUGGCACUUUUCUGACCACUCAAAUUUGAUGUCUUUCUGAAGCAACUUUGUCAUCAGUGUUUCUAUCAUCGAGAAACCUUUCACAAACUGUCUGUAGUACCUGGCAAGUCCCAAAAAAACUUCAAACUUCUGAAACAUUUCUCGGAGGCUUCCAAUCGAGUAUAGUUAAAAUUGUACUCGGAUCAACUCGGAUACCCAAUGCGGAUACAACAUGCCCCAAAAAGCUAACUUCUCUCAACCAGAAGUCACAUUUACUGAACUUCGCAUAUAAUUGCUUGUCUCGCAAAAUCUACAAUACUAACAUCAAGUGCUCAGCAUGUUCAGUUUCAUCGCGUGAAUAGAUCAAAAUUUCAUUUAUAAACAUGACUACAAACCGAUCCAAAUACUGUCUGAAAAUCUGAUUCAUUAGAUCCAUAAAAACUACAAGGGCAUUAGUAAGCCCAAACGGCAUCACUAAGAACUCGUAGUGUCCGUACCUCACUCUGAAAGCAGUUUUAGGUACAUCAGAGUCUCUAACUCGCAACUGAUAAUAACCCGAUCUCAAGUCUAUCUUCAAAAAUAAUGAGGCUCCUUUCAGUUGAUCAAACAAAUCAUUGAUUCGCGGCAACAGAUAUUUAUUCUUUAUCGUUACUUUAUUAAGUUGACGAUAAUCAAUACACAUUCUCAUAGUUCCGUCUUUCUUUUCCACAAACAAUACUGGCGCACCCCAGGGAGAAAAACUCGAUCGAGCAAAACCUCUCUCUGUCAACUCUUACAACUGAGAUUUCAAUUCUUUUAGUUCAUUUGGUGCCAUACGAUACGGAGCUAUCAAAAUCGGUGUAGUCUUUGGUACAAGUUCAAUACCAAACUCUACCUCCAGAACAAGGGGUAAUCUAGGUAAUUCCUCAGGGAACACACCCAGAUAUUCACAAACUACGGGCACAGUCUCAAGUUUCUUUUCUGAUUCUUUACUAUCCAGUACAUACGCAAGAUAUGCUUCACACCCCUUUUUCACAUAUUUCUCAGCCAACAUCAAGGAUAUCACUACCGGUAAUCCAUUCAAAUAGGUAGACUCAACUCGAAUUAUCUCAUUAUUUGAACAUCUCAAAUCAAUUGUCUUUCGCUUGCAAUUCACUACUGCAUCAUGCACAGUUAACCAAUCCAUACCAAGAAUUAUAUCAAACUCAUCAAACGGUAAUAACAUUAAAUCAGCCAGAAAGCAAGAAUCUCGGAUCAUCAGGGGACAUUUCUUACAUACUUUGUCAACUAGCACAUAACGGCCCAAAAGAUUCGACACCCGAAUCACAAACUCAGUAGACUCAACAUGUGACAGCCCAAAAUUGACCCUAGUCGGGAAGUGGUUUUGGGACCGCUAAACCGAGUCAUCGAAAGGUUUGAAUGUGAUGUUUAUUGUCUAUAAUAUGUAAUCAUGAAUGUGUGAAAAUUUCAAGCUUCGAUUUAGUCGAUUGCAUGUGAAUUUAGUCAAUAGGACUUAUAUGAGAAAAUUUUAAAAUGUGAUAGGUCAAUGCAUGAGGACCUAUUAGUGCAUGUGGAAGAAAAAGGGGACUUGCAUGUCAAAUUCCCCCUCCCUAAUAUGUAGUGGCCGGCCAUGCUAUGGGUGGAAACAUGUCACCAACAUGUUGUGUUAGUGAUGUAUGGUAAGGAAAAUAAAAUAAUAAGCAUGAUAAUUAAAUAAUGAAAGGAAGGGUGAUGGAAAAAAAAUAACAUGGUCUCACCCCCUUGUUGCCGUGAGUUGAAGAAAGAAAACAAAAAAAAAUGUGUUCAUUCUUGAACACCUUUGGCCGAAUAGAGGAAAGAAAGGAAGGGGAAGAGCUUGAGAAAAUCGGCUAUGGUGGUUUGCUAGACUAAGGUAUGUUUGAUGUUGUUCUUGAGAUGCAUGCAUGUUUUAGUAGUUGACUUGAGUUCUAAAAACCCAUGGUUCAAUUUUGUGGAUUGAUGAUGAUUUUGUGUUUUGCCAUUGAUGAGUGCUUGAGCUUUUUGAUAGUUGUUGAUGAAAAGCGAAAGAUAUGUUAAAGAUUAAUAUGUUUUGUGUUGAAGUUUUUGGUGAUUUUGAGUGGUUAGGGCUAAAUUACAAAAAUAAAUUUUUGAAGGACUCAAAGGUGAAAUAAAUGAAAUGUAUGGACUUAUAUGGGUGCUAGGAAGAUUCGGCCCUUAAGGAGUGUGACCAAACUUUGUGUAUUUUGUGUUUUGUGGAAUAAAGACUAAAUUGUGAAAGUGCGAAAUAUUAGGGGUAAAAAUGUAAUUUACCCAUUUAUGCGUUAUUAGACUAAAUUGAAUGAAAAUAUGUUAAAAUGAGAUUUAUUUGAAUAUGUUAAGAUCAAGAAACCAAGGAAUUGGAUUUAGAUCGGGGAAAAUCGAAAGUAGUUGAGUAGCCGAUCAUUUAGUCGACGACAUCCGAAGAAAGUUUAUAAGCAAUUAGAUAUUAAAAUUUCGGAAUAAAUGUUAGCUAUAUAUGCUGAAAUGGAAAUAUGAUAAAUGUAUAUAUAGCUGAAUGUGAUAUGUGUGAAUUAUAUGUUAAAUUAAGGCUUGGUAAGCUAGCUAUUAAGGUGAAAUGCUAAUGUUAGUAUUUGAUUUGGUAAUAAUCUGUUUGGGGACAGCAGCAGUAAGGUGAUUUUGGAAAAUCGCCAUAAUUUGUAGGAGUUGAAUUAGAAGCUGAGUGAAUUAUGCCGUUAAAGCUUGAAGAGUCUAUUUUCUUACAAAAGAAACUAUAAAAACAAAAGAGUUACCGAUCUUGAGAUAUUUGAAGUAUUGUGGGGCUGAGUCAAAAUGACUACUAGAUUCCCUGUUCUGUUUUUAGAAAAUCAUUAUAAAUUGUACAAAAAUGAUUAUAAGAUAAAAUUUAUAUGCUUAGACUCCUUAAUGAGUCUAGUUUCAAAUGAGAUCAACUACAACACAUUUUGAAUUCUGUAAAAUGAGAAAUUUGAUUCGUAGUGAAGAGUGGUCAGAAUAGUCAAACAGUGAAACAGGGGAAACUUUAAGAAAAAUCUGGUAUUGAUUGGCCAAGCCUAAAAUUCUGAAAAUUUUAUGGAUGGAAGAUAUACGAGUCUAUAUUCAGGGAAAAUUAACGGCUAGUGAUUUGGAGUUUUGUAGCUCCAGUUAUAAACAAUUUAGCGACUACUGCUCAGGAAAACAGCUCGUAGUGAAUAUGUGAUUUUGUUGUAAACAUUAAUGAAAAUUUGCCAAUGAGUUAUUUAUUGAUUAUUAUAAAGCUUACUAUAAUCUAUGUGUGUGAAAGUCAAAUCAAUAUAUAUAUUAUUCUGAAAGUAAUACUUGAAUAGUCGAUUAAUGACUAUUUUAAAUUUUGUCGAACUUAAGCUCAAGAGUAAAAAGGGAACUAGAUCCGAUAAAGGCAAAGAAAAGAUCACUGAGUAGCCGAGUUGGAACCGUCUUACCCAACACAAGGUAAGUCAUUAAGCAUGUAGUUGGUAUUAUUUCAAAUGGUCAUAAUGUUUAUGUAUUGAUGCUGAAUGGAAUGAAUAAAUAUAUAUAUAUAUGCAUGUACGUAUGUGAUGAUGAAAUUGUUGAAUGAAAAGAAAAGAGGUAAGAUGUACUGAGUUGUUGAUCUCGGUACUAAACGUGCGGGUAUAACCAUUUAUGACCAUGAGAUUGGCGCUAAGUGCGCGGGAUUAAAUUGUACAGCACUAAGUGUGCGAUUUGACUAUGUUGCACUAAGUGUGCGAAAUGAAUAUGAUGCACUAAGUGUGCGAAUUGACCAUGCGGCACUAAGUGUGCGAGUUUGACUAUGUAGCACUAAGUGUGCGAUUUGAUUACGUAGCACUAAGUGUGCGAGUUGAUUAUAUAGCACUGAGUGUGCGGACUCAAUAUACAUUCGUGAAUCAUUAUGGACACUAUGUGUGCGACACUAUUGAGUCGAUCGCGGACAGCGGAUCGGGUAAGUGUCUUGAGUACAUGGCUAAUAGGUGCUAUGCUUAUACUUGGUGUUGAGCUCGGUAAGUUUGAACCUAUGUGACAAAUAUACUUGAAGUCACGUACAUAAAAUUUAUUGUAGGAUGGGUGAAAGGCCGUUUAGUCGUUUGAUUGUAACGAAAAUAAAUUGUUUUAUGAAAUUGCCUCAAUGUCCUAUUGAUGAGUAUAUGGAAUGUGAAUGCAUGAAUUGAUAUGAAACUGAAUCGAUAGGUUGGAGGAACUAUGGUAUGGUUCGGUAUGGAUGGAGUAAAUUGUCUCGUUCCAUUUUGUUUCCUCUUGUGAUAAUGUUAUUGAUGGAUGGUAGUGCAUUGCUUAUGACUUACUGAGUUAUAAACUCACUCGGUGUUUCCUUGUCACCCAUUAUAGGUUGCUUGGACUCAUCUAUUUUUGCGAGGUCAGGCCGUCAUCGAAGUCAUCACACCGGAUAGCAAGUUUUGGUACUUUCUUCUUAGUUGGCUUAGAAGAACAUUUUGGCAUGUAUAAGCUAUUACGUUGUGUUUGAACCUUGGCAUGUAAACUUUAAGCCAUGCGAAAAUGGCACGAAUGUUCGAUUGAGUUGGAUCAAGGGUAGGCAUGAAAUGGACCUAGUUACUUUCGUAACAGAUGCUGGCAGCAGCAGUGUCAUGAGAUUGAAAAAUCACUAAAAAUAUUAGGAGUGGAAUUAAUUGAUGAAUAAAUUAUGUAAUCGAAGCUUGAUGAGUCUGUUUUCAUGAGGAAGUAACGAAAAGAUCAUAUGGGCAGUAUAUUAAGAGAUAAUCAGAUUUUUGUGGGACAGGGCCAGAACGGUUUCUGGAUUCCCUGCUCCGACUUUGGAAAUUCAUUAUAAAUUAACCAGAGAUAAUUAGGGGUCGUACCAUAUAUUUACAGAUUCCUCUCUGAGUCUAGUUUUCAUAGAAACAAACGGCAUCAGUAUUGAAGCCCCGUGCAGGGAGAUAUCCAAGUCGUAAUGGCCAAAGGUCAGUGUAGUCGACCCCUGCAAUAUGGGAGACUUUGACUAAUAAACUGUACAAAUUGGCCCGACCAAAAAUUCUAGAAAAAAAUACAUAGAUGGGCACAUGAGUCUAGUUUCUGGGAAAAAUCACAAAAUUGAUUUUCGAGUUACGAAACUCAAGAUAUGAUUUUUAAAACGACUAGUACACAGAUUGGGCAGUGUCUGGAAAAUAAAUUUUAUAAGGGGUUAAAGUCAGUUAACACCUCGUGUUCGACUCCGGUGUCGAUUUCGGGUUCGGGGUGUUACAUUUGAUUGGUAUCAGAGCUAUGGUUUAGUCGGUUCUAGGACUACCAUAGCGCGUAUGAGUCUAGCUAUACAUGCCGAAUGUUAAUGUUUAAAUGUGUGAUGACUUCUGACGGUUGAAAUGUUUUUGUUUUGAUUUGUAAAUGGACCCCGGUGAAGAAAGAACCCUAGCGGAUGACGUUGAGAGCGUAGCGGCUGCUCCUGCACAAGGGACGCCGCGACGCCGCCUGUUGAACCUCAGUCAUCUGCGAAUAAUCAAGGUGAGGGGGCUAAACAAGCCUUCUUUACCAUGAUGAAUGAGUGGGUCGCGCAAUAUGCCCGAACCAACCCGGCUGUCCAACAAUUCCCAAAUUUGAAUAAUCCACCCCAAGAGCCUGUAAUGCCAUCAGUCGCUGAUCCUGUGAGGCUGAGUAAGCCACCUGUAGACGUGAUUAGGAAGCGUGGGGCCGAGGAGUUCAAGGCCAUAGUAACUGAUGAUGCCGAAAGGGCCGAGUUCUGGCUUGAUAACACCAUUCGGGUGUUCGAUGAAUUGUCAUGCACACCUGACGAAUGUCUAAAAUGUGCUGUAUCUUUGUUGCGAGACUCAGCCUACUAUUGGUGGAGGACCUUGAUUUCCAUAGUCCCGAACGAGCAAGUAACUUGGGACUUCUUUCAAACGGAAUUCCGAAAAAAAUUUAUUAGCCAACGGUUCAUUGAUCAGAAGUGUAAGGAGUUCUUGGAACUCAAGUAAGGCCGUAUGACUGUAUCUGAAUACGAACAUGAAUUCGUAAGACUCAGUAGGUAUGCCCGGGAGUGUGUAGCUGAUGAGGUUGCUAUGUGCAAAAGGUUCGAGGAAGGAUUGAAUGAAGAUUUAAAGCUACUAAUGGGUAUUUUGGAAAUAAAAGAAUUCGUAACACUAGUCGAACGAGCCUGCAAGGCGGAAGAACUUGGAAAGGAGAAGAGGAAGGCUGAAUUUGAAGCUAGAGAUUAUCGUAAAAGAUCGACGGGUAAAGCUCCGAUCUCAGCUGUAAAGAAGUUCAGGGAGGACAUUAAUAAGUCGAGGGCGACUGCGGGAAUUUCCAUCAGGGCAAGACCAUCGAUGGGCUCCCGAGCUACUUCGGUAGCUAGUGUGGGCAAUAAUCGUCACGAGGAACCUGAAUGUCCCCAAUGUGGAAGACGACACCUAGGUGAAUGUUGGGGCAAGUCUACUAGCAGGGCCUGUUACGGAUGCGGUUCGAAGGACCACUUCAUUAGAGAUUGCACGGAGCUGGAUGAGAAGAAUAAGAUUCAAGGUGCAAGACCUAGUGGAGUGACAUCUAGAGGUAGACCACCGAGAAUUUUAGGAGGCAGGGGUGGUAGUCAGAGGGGGGCCUCUGAUAUGGCCGAUCGAGCCGAGAACCGUACUCCUGCUAGAGCAUAUGCCAUUCGUGCACGAGAUGAGGCAUCCUUCCCCGACGUCAUCACUGGUACCUUCACUCUCUUUGAUACUAAUGUGAUUGCAUUGAUUGACCCUGGUUCUACUCAUUCAUAUGUAUGGAAACCUUAGCAACCAGUAAGACUCUACCUGUUGAGUCUACUGAGCUCGUAAUUCGAGUAUCAAACCCUUUGGGUCAAUGCGUACUUGUUGAUAAAGUGUGUAAGAGAUGCCCUCUAAUAAUCCGAGAAUCCUGUUUUCCGGCCGAUUUGAUGCUUUUGCCGUUCGACGAGUUUGAUGUUAUUCUUGGUUUGGAUUGGUUAACCGCGCAUGAUGCGGUUGUGAAUUGGAAAAGCAAGACUAUCGAUUUGAGGUGCGCAAAUAACGAAAUAAUCCGAGUUGAGUCUGCGGACUUAAGGGGGUUGCCAGCUGUAAUAUCAGCAAUGUUGGCCCAGAAAUAUGUAAGGAAAGGGUGCGAAGCAUACCACGCGUAUGUACUUGAUGACAAGGAGUUAGAAAAGAAACCCGAAUCGGUGCCGGUGGUUUGUGAAUACCCGGAUGUUUUUCCUGAAGAGUUACCGGGUUUGCCACCUGUUCGGGAGGUAGAGUUUGGUAUUGAGCUUGUACCUGGAACUACGCCAAUUUCGAUUGCUCCGUAUCGUAUGUUCUAACCGAUUUAAAAGAGUUGAAAGCUCAGUUGCAAGAAUUGACGGAUAGAGGUUUCGCUCGACCGAGAUUCUCACCUUGGGGUGCACCAGUAUUGUUCGUGAAAAAAAAGAAAGACGGAACCAUGAGGUUGUGCAUUGACUAUCGUCAACUGAAUAAAGUGACGAUAAAGAAUAAGUAUCUGUUACCGCGUAUUGAUGAUCUGUUCGAUCAAUUAAAGGGAGCAUCGGUGUUUUCAAAGAUAGAUUUGAGAUCGGGUUAUUAUCAGUUGCGGAUUCGAGAUUCGGACGUACCCAAAACUGCUUUCAGAACGAGGUACGGUCACUACGAGUUCUUAGUGAUGCCGUUUGGGCUCACUAAUGCCCCUGCGGUGUUUAUGGAUUUGAUGAACGGAUCUUCAGGCCGUAUUUGGAUCGGUUCGUAGUUGUGUUUAUUGAUGACAUCUUGGUCUAUUCAAGAGAUGAGACCGAACAUGCUGAGCAUCUGAGGCUAGUGUUGCAAAUUUUGCGGGAUAAGCAGUUAUAUGCUAAGUUCAGUAAGUGUGAGUUCUGGUUAAGAGAGGUUAGCUUCUUGGGUCAUGUGGUAUCCGCAUCGGGUAUUCGAGUUGACCCGAGCAAAAUUUCAGCCAUACUUAUCUGGAAGCCUCCGAGAAAUGUUACCGAAGUCCGGAGCUUUCUAGGGCUCGCCGGUUAUUACCGACGAUUUGUCAAAGGUUUCUCAAUGAUAGCCACACCAAUGACGAAGCUACUUCAAAAGGAUGUUAAGUUCGAAUGGAUGGAGAAAUGUCAGAAAAGCUUCGAUCAACUGAAAACUCAUUUGACUGAAGCUCCAAUUUUGGUGCAACCCGAAUCGGGUAAAGAGUUUGUCAUUUAUAGUGACGCAUCCCUACUUGGGUUGGGUUGCGUAUUGAUGCAAGAAGGUCGAGUUGUGGCCUAUGCGUCGAGACAAUUGAAGCCACACGAGAGAAAUUAUCCGACCCAUGAUCUCGAACUAGCCGCCAUUGUGUUUGCAUUGAAAAUAUGGCGACAUUAUUUGUUUGGUGAGAAGUGCCAUGUGUUUUCGGAUCACAAAAGUCUCAAAUACUUGAUGACUCAACGAGACUUGAAUCUGCGACAAAGACGUUGGCUUGAGUUGUUGAAAGAUUACGAGCUUGUCAUUGAUUACCACCCGGGAAAGGCUAAUGUGGUUGCGGACGCCUUAAGCCGGAAAUCACUGUUUGCUUUGCGAGCGAUGAAUGUACACUUGUCUGUUCUACCUGACAAUGUGUUAGUAGCUGAAUUAAAAGCCAAACCAUUAUUGACUCAUCAAAUUCGUGAAGCUCAGAAAGUCGAUGAGGAAUUGGUUGCAAAACAAGCUGAGUGUGUUCCGAACAAGGAAUCGGAGUUUCAGAUUGAUGAUGAUGGUUGUUUGAGGUUUAGAAGUCGUUUGUGUGUUCCAAGGAAUUCGGAACUCAUUCCGAUGAUUCUGAACGAAGCCCAUUGUAGCCGAAUGUCAAUUCACCCGGGGAGCACGAAAAUGUACAACGACUUGAGACGUCGGUUUUGGUGGCGUGGUAUGAAACGAGACAUCUCCGACUUUGUUUCGAGAUGUUUAAUAUGUCAACAAGUGAAAGCGGAACAUCAAGUGCCUUCAGGGUUACUUCAGCCGAUCAUGAUACCCGAGUGGAAAUGGGACCGAGUCACAAUGGACUUUGUGUCCGGACUGCCAUUGUCCGCAAGUAAGAAGGAUGCGAUUUGGGUUGUUGUUGAUAGGCUGACUAAGUCGGCUCACUUUAUCCCCGUGCAUACGGAUCUUUCAUUGGAUAAACUAGCCGAAUUGUAUGUCUCUCAGAUUGUGAGAUUACAUGGAGUACCUAUUUCUAUCGUGUCGGAUAGAGAUCCGAGAUUCAUUGGGCCGUACGAAAUCUCCGAACGAGUUGGUCCAGUUGCGUAUCGAUUGAUUUUGCCCCCUGAACUUGAAAAGAUCCAUGACGUCUUUCAUGUUUCGAUGCUUCGACGCUAUAGAUCUAAUCCAUCGCACAUAAUUAGCCCAUCAGAGGUUAAAAUUCAAGCCGAUAUGAGUUAUGAAGAAGAACCGAUGCGUAUCCUAGCUCGUGAAGUGAAGGAGUUACGAAACAAAAGAGUUCCGCUAGUAAAGGUGUUAUGGCUCAAACACGGGAUCGAGGAAGCUACUUGGGAAACCGAGAGCUCGAUGAAAGAACGAUAUCCAAACCUAUUUACCGUAAGAUUUUCGGGGACGAAAAUUUCUUAAGUGGGGGAGAGUUGUGACAGCCCAAAAUUGACCCUAGUCGGGAAGUGGUUUCGGGACCGCUAAACCGAGUCACCGAAAGGUUUGAAUGUGAUGUUUAUUGUCUAGAAUAUGUAAUCAUGAAUGUGUGAAAAUUUCAAGCUUCGAUUUAGUCGAUUGCAUGUGAAUUUAGUCAAUAGGACUUAUAUGAGAAAAUUUUAAAAUGUGAUAGGUCAAUGCAUGAGGACCUAUUAGUGCAUGUGGAAGAAAAAGGGGACUUGCAUGUCAAAUUCCCCCUCCCUAAUAUGUAGUGGCCGGCCAUGCUAUGGGUGGAAACAUGUCACCAACAUGUUGUGUUAGUGAUGUAUGGUAAGGAAAAUAAAAUAAUAAGCAUGAUAAUUAAAUAAUGAAAGGAAGGGUGAUGGAAAAAAAAAAUAACAUGGUCUCACCCCCUUGUUGCCGUGAGUUGAAGAAAGAAAACAAAAAAAAAUGUGUUCAUUCUUGAACACCUUUGGCCGAAUAGAGGAAAGAAAGGAAGGGGAAGAGCUUGAGAAAAUCGGCUAUGGUGGUUUGCUAGACUAAGGUAUGUUUGAUGUUGUUCUUGAGAUGCAUGCAUGUUUUAGUAGUUGACUUGAGUUCUAAAAACCCAUGGUUCAAUUUUGUGGAUUGAUGAUGAUUUUGUGUUUUGCCAUUGAUGAGUGCUUGAGCUUUUUGAUAGUUGUUGAUGAAAAGCGAAAGAUAUGUUAAAGAUUAAUAUGUUUUGUGUUGAAGUUUUUGGUGAUUUUGAGUGGUUAGGGCUAAAUUACAAAAAUAAAUUUUUGAAGGACUCAAAGGUGAAAUAAAUGAAAUGUAUGGACUUAUAUGGGUGCUAGGAAGAUUCGGCCCUUAAGGAGUGUGACCAAACUUUGUGUAUUUUGUGUUUUGUGGAAUAAAGACUAAAUUGUGAAAGUGCGAAAUAUUAGGGGUAAAAAUGUAAUUUACCCAUUUAUGCGUUAUUAGACUAAAUUGAAUGAAAAUAUGUUAAAAUGAGAUUUAUUUGAAUAUGUUAAGAUCAAGAAACCAAGGAAUUGGAUUUAGAUCGGGGAAAAUCGAAAGUAGUUGAGUAGCCGAUCAUUUAGACGACGACAUCCGAAGAAAGUUUAUAAGCAAUUAGAUAUUAAAAUUUCGGAAUAAAUGUUAGCUAUAUAUGCUGAAAUGGAAAUAUGAUAAAUGUAUAUAUAGCUGAAUGUGAUAUGUGUGAAUUAUAUGUUAAAUUAAGGCUUGGUAAGCUAGCUAUUAAGGUGAAAUGCUAAUGUUAGUAUUUGAUUUGGUAAUAAUCUGUUUGGGGACAGCAGCAGUAAGGUGAUUUUGGAAAAUCGCCAUAAUUUGUAGGAGUUGAAUUAGAAGCUGAGUGAAUUAUGCCGUUAAAGCUUGAAGAGUCUAUUUUCUUACAAAAGAAACUAUAAAAACAAAAGAGUUACCGAUCUUGAGAUAUUUGAAGUAUUGUGGGGCUGAGUCAAAAUGACUACUAGAUUCCCUGUUCUGUUUUUAGAAAAUCAUUAUAAAUUGUACAAAAAUGAUUAUAAGAUAAAAUUUAUAUGCUUAGACUCCUUAAUGAGUCUAGUUUCAAAUGAGAUCAACUACAACACAUUUUGAAUUCUGUAAAAUGAGAAAUUUGAUUCGUAGUGAAGAGUGGUCAGAAUAGUCAAACAGUGAAACAGGGGAAACUUUAAGAAAAAUCUGGUAUUGAUUGGCCAAGCCUAAAAUUCUGAAAAUUUUAUGGAUGGAAGAUAUACGAGUCUAUAUUCAUGGAAAAUUAACGGCUAGUGAUUUGGAGUUUUGUAGCUCCAGUUAUAAACAAUUUAGCGACUACUGCUCAGGAAAACAGCUCGUAGUGAAUAUGUGAUUUUGUUGUAAACAUUAAUGAAAAUUUGCCAAUGAGUUAUUUAUUGAUUAUUAUAAAGCUUACUAUAAUCUAUGUGUGUGAAAGUCAAAUCAAUAUAUAUAUUAUUCUGAAAGUAAUACUUGAAUAGUCGAUUAAUGACUAUUUUAAAUUUUGUCGAACUUAAGCUCAAGAGCAAAAAGGGAACUAGAUCCGAUAAAGGCAAAGAAAAGAUCACUGAGUAGCCGAGUUGGAACCGUCUUACCCAACACAAGGUAAGUCAUUAAGCAUGUAGUUGGUAUUAUUUCAAAUGGUCAUAAUGUUUAUGUAUUGAUGCUGAAUGGAAUGAAUAAAUAUAUAUAUAUAUGCAUGUACGUAUGUGAUGAUGAAAUUGUUGAAUGAAAAGAAAAGAGGUAAGAUGUACUGAGUUGUUGAUCUCGGUACUAAACGUGCGGGUAUAACCAUUUAUGACCAUGAGAUUGGCGCUAAGUGCGCGGGAUUAAAUUGUACAGCACUAAGUGUGCGAUUUGACUAUGUUGCACUAAGUGUGCGAAAUGAAUAUGAUGCACUAAGUGUGCGAAUUGACCAUGCGGCACUAAGUGUGCGAGUUUGACUAUGUAGCACUAAGUGUGCGAUUUGAUUACGUAGCACUAAGUGUGCGAGUUGAUUAUAUAGCACUGAGUGUGCGGACUCAAUAUACAUUCGUGAAUCAUUAUGGACACUAUGUGUGCGACACUAUUGAGUCGAUCGCGGACAGCGGAUCGGGUAAGUGUCUUGAGUACAUGGCUAAUAGGUGCUAUGCUUAUACUUGGUGUUGAGCUCGGUAAGUUUGAACCUAUGUGACAAAUAUACUUGAAGUCACGUACAUAAAAUUUAUUGUAGGAUGGGUGAAAGGCCGUUUAGUCGUUUGAUUGUAACGAAAAUAAAUUGAUUUAUGAAAUUGCCUCAAUGUCCUAUUGAUGAGUAUAUGGAAUGUGAAUGCAUGAAUUGAUAUGAAACUGAAUCGAUAGGUUGGAGGAACUAUGGUAUGGUUCGGUAUGGAUGGAGUAAAUUGUCUCGUUCCAUUUUGUUUCCUCUUGUGAUAAUGUUAUUGAUGGAUGGUAGUGCAUUGCUUAUGACUUACUGAGUUAUAAACUCACUCGGUGUUUCCUUGUCACCCAUUAUAGGUUGCUUGGACUCAUCUAUUUUUGCGGGGUCAGGCCGUCAUCGAAGUCAUCACACCGGAUAGCAAGUUUUGGUACUUUCUUCUUAGUUGGCUUAGAAGAACAUUUUGGCAUGUAUAAGCUAUUACGUUGUGUUUGAACCUUGGCAUGUAAACUUUAAGCCAUGCGAAAAUGGCACGAAUGUUCGAUUGAGUUGGAUCAAGGGUAGGCAUGAAAUGGACCUAGUUACUUUCGUAACAGAUGCUGGCAGCAGCAGUGUCAUGAGAUUGAAAAAUCACUAAAAAUAGUAGGAGUGAAAUUAAUUGAUGAAUAAAUUAUGUAAUCGAAGCUCGAUGAGUCUGUUUUCAUGAGGAAGUAACGAAAAGAUCAUAUGGGCAGUAUAUUAAGAGAUAAUCAGAUUUUUGUGGGACAGGGCCAGAACGGUUUCUGGAUUCCCUGCUCCAACUUUGGAAAUUCAUUAUAAAUUAACCAGAGAUAAUUAGGGGUCGUACCAUAUAUUUACAGAUUCCUCUCUGAGUCUAGUUUUCAUAGAAACAAACGGCAUCAGUAUUGAAGCCCCGUGGAGGGAGAUAUCCAAGUCGUAAUGGGCAAAGGUCAGUGUAGUCGACCCCUGCAAUAUGGGAGACUUUGACUAAUAAACUGUACAAAUUGGCCCGACCAAAAAUUCUAGAAAAAAAUACAUAGAUGGGCACAUGAGCCUAGUUUCUGGGAAAAAUCACGAAAUUGAUUUUCGAGUUACGAAACUCAAGAUAUGAUUUUUAAAACGACUAGUACACAGAUUGGGCAGUGUCUGGAAAAUAAAUUUUAUAAGGGGUUAAAGUCAGUUAACACCUCGUGUUCGACUCCGGUGUCGGUUUCGGGUUCGGGGUGUUACACAACAGGUAGAGUCUUACUGGAUGCUAAAGUUUCACAUACAUAUGAAUGAGUAGAACCGGGGUCGAUCAAAGCAAUCACAUCAGUAUCAAAAAGAGUAUAAGUACUGGUAAUAACAUCUGGCGAAGAAGCAUCCUCGCGCGCUUGUAUAGCAUAGGCUCUGGCAGGAGCAGAGCCUCAGAACAUAUAGCAGUAUCUUUGGUCCCUCUUUGAUUUCCACUAGCAUUACCCGCAUGUCUAGAUGGUCUACUUCGUGUUGCAGUGUUACUAGGUCUCCCACUCGGAUCAGUAUUCUGUUCAGCUAAUUUCGGAAAGUCUCUGAUAAAGUGAUCAGCUGAUCCACACUUGAAACAAGAGCGGCCACGAAAUCUACAGCUUCCUGAAUGCCAUUUACCACAAUGCUUGCACUCAGAUCUGUCUUGAUGAUCAUUGCCAACACUGGCAACAGAGGUAGCUCGCGUACUCAUAGGGGGUCGAUCACAGUCUCGUCUGGAAAAACCCGAAGUAUUCUUAGAUUGGCCUGAGUCAUCUCUAAAUUUCUUUGAUAACUGAUGAAAGGAUUUUCCCGAAGAUCUUUUACAGAGCUCUCUAACUCUAUCAUCAGCUUUUCUUUUCUCUUUACCGAGCUCUUCGGCUUUACAAGCUCGCUCGACAAGCACUACAAACUCUUUGAUUUCCAAAAUACCCACCAACAGUUUGAUGUCUUCAUUCAGCCCAUCCUCAAGGCGUUUACACAUGAUAGCCUCAGACGAAACACAUUCCCGAGCAUAUCUACCAAGUCUGACAAACUUUCGCUUGUAAUCGGUAACUGUCAUAGAGCCCUGUUUGAGCUUGAGAAAUUCCUUCUGUUUCUGAUCGAUGAAUCUUUGACUGAUAUAUUUCUUGCGGAACUCGGUUUGAAAGAAUUCCCAAGUAACCCGUUCUCUCAGCAUAACUGAAAUCAAGGUAUUCCACCAAUAGUAGGCAGAAUCACAUAACAGAGAUAUAGCACAUUUUAAGCACUCAUCGGGUGUGCACGAUAAUUCAUCAAACACGCGAAUGGUAUUAUCAAGCCAAAACUCAGCCUGCUCGGCAUCAUCAUUGUCAGUAGCCUUGAACUCAGAAGCCCCGUGCUUUUGAAUUCUAUCAACCGGAGGCUUGCUCAACCUCAACGGGUCAACUAUAGGAGGUACCACAGGUGCAGGGGUUGUAUUAGUCGGGGGUGGGGGAUGUGAAACAGCCAAAUUAGUUCGAACAUAUUGGGUAAACCAAUCGUUCAUCAUAGCAUAAAAGGCUUGCUUAGCUUCAUCAUUCUGAUUACUAGCAUUUGGUUGACAGUCCAACGCCGCUGUCCCGUGUGCGGGAGCAGGCGCUACGCUCUCUACAUCAUCAGUUACUGCUCGAUCAGGAUCAGAAUUCAUUACUAUACAAAAAACACAUUUCAACUGUCAGAAAUCAUCACACUAUCGUAAUAACACUUCAUGGCAUGUAUAGCUAGACUCACACGCGCUAUGUUAGUCCUAGAAUCGACUAAACCGGAGCUCUGAUACCAAUAAAAUGUAACACCCCUAUAACCCGUAUUCGUCACCAGAGUGGGUUAUGAAGAGUUACCAAUCCAAAACACUACAUUUGUACAUUCACAUUUACAUAAGUUCAUUAGCAAUUAUAUGCAUAGCCAAACAAAAUCAAAGAUCAAAAUUCAGACUUAAACCGACAUUCAAAAGUUACCAUAAUCACAUGGCUUAUAUACAACAACACCUCAAAAUAUCAUUCACUUAAGUCUAUUUCUAUACAUGCAAUACGAAUUCCAAAAUAUAAUAGUACCAAAACGAUAGAUAGUGUGACGAGUUACUGACGAUCCCCGAGCAAGUGGCUGGAGUCAACGAUCUAAAAACAGAGAAACAUAACAAACGGAGUAAGCUUCCAUAAGCUUAGUAAGUUUUAAGCAAUGCAAACAAUUAAAUUCAAUUAUAAAUCAAUCAAUCAAAUUCUCAAGUGACAUUUCUUAGGUAUAUUGCCAUUUGGCCGAAUAUAUAUAUACAAACAUUUAACGUAUAUUUAGCAUAUUAACUUCACUUGAAUCUGAAUUCAGAUAACAUAAGUAAAUCAAAUAUUUUCACAUAACUUCACAUUUUGGCCGAAUGUAUCAGGAUCAUAUACAUAUAGUCUUAAUACUUAUUCACAUAUACAUCAUAUUACAUACUUGGGAUUCAAUCCCAAUCAAGCUCAUAUAAGUACAAGAUACAUACCUAGCCAACUUAAGGUAUUAUACGAUUUCAAUUGUCGUUUUAUCAUGAAGUUUCAAAAUCUUAGAUUUAUAUCAAAUCACUGGAAAUUAGCCUGCUAGGUUUAAAACCCGAAUUCAUCACCGGCACGAAGCCUGCUAGACUUUAAGUCUGAACUCAUUCACCGGUAUUACGCCUUCUAGGCUCAAAGCCUGAUAUUAACUCACCGGCAUUACGCCUGCUAGGCUCGAAGCCUGAUAUUAACUCACUGGCAUUAUAGCCUGCUAGGCUCGAAGCCCAAUAUUAACUCACCGGCAUUAUAGCCUACUAGGCUCGAAGCCUGAUAUUAACUCACCGGCAUUAUAGCCUGCUAGGCUCAAAGGCUCGAAUAGUACUGUACGAUAAUCAAAUCAACAAGUUCCAUAUAACUUACUCAUAUCAAUUACGUACUAGCAUCAUUUGAACAUAUAUAAUUAUACUUCUCAAACACUUUUCUUUCAUCUCAUUUUCAUACUUAGCAUUCGAUAGCUUAUGCAUAACAUUUCGCUCACAUUCAUUUCAAAUUUAUCAUUCGAUUAUAAAAGCACAUUGCAUAUUUACCAACAUGUUAUACUUGCCAUUAGGCCAUAUAAGCAUGAUACAAUACACAUUAUUUCAUCUUUAAAAUUCGAAUAAAUCCAUACCUUAUAAAGAAUACCUAAUUCAUAUAAUAUAUCAGAUUAUAAUCAAUUGUUAUUUACGUUUGAUUACUUAAAACUUACCUCGGAUGUUUUCGAACGAUUACAACGACUAUUUGAUUUCUUUCUCCUUUCCCCUAUCCAACUUUGGUCCUCUAAGCUCUUGAGCUAAAUCAAACAAAUUUACUUCUCAAUCAAACACAUACAUACGGCAACCAUAUACAUUUCAAAAACCAAUUCAUUCGUAUCAUUUGUCCAUAUAUUAGCUUUUAGCAUAUUUGGUCAUUAGAGCGACCUAUUUAACUUUCAAGCAUUCAUUUCUAAUUUUAAUUAAACAAUGUCGAAUGCCAUUAACUACUAAUUCCAUACACACAUAUGCAUAAAAUUCAUCCAUACAUAACCUAUAGCUCAUCCGGUCAUUCAUCUCUCAAACCUAUCAAAGCUUCAUAUCAAACUUCCUUGGCCGAAUACACAUAUAAGCACAUAAUGCACAUUUAGCAUUUUUAUUUACUUCAUGAUACAUUCGGCCUUGGCAUAAUUUCAUUAAAAAACCCUAUUAGCCGCUUCACAAAUCAAUUAUAUCAUCUACUUAAUAUUUCAUAACUUAUCAUGCUAGCCGAAUAUUAUUUAUUCAAGUUCUCAUUCGGACAUAGCACACACAACAUGUUAGCCGAUUUUCCCACUUAACAUCUAAUGCACAUAUAUGCUCAUUUGUCUAGCUCAACUUCACCUAUCUACCAUUACUCAUAAAAGAACAUGAAACAACAACCAUUUCCUUCAAUUCAAUUCAUGACCGAAUGCUCACAACACAACAAUUUUCAAAAUUUAAUCAUGGGUUAACUAAGCAAUGCUUUAACCAUGCUAAUUACGCAAGAAUAUCAAGAAAAUACAUGGAACAUACCUUUGAAUCAUGCUAAGUAAAUGACCGAAUGUGCUUGAGCUUUUUCCUCUCUUUUUCUCUUAAUUUCGGUUAUGAAGAACAAAGAUGAACAAGUUUUGUCCUUUUCAUCAUUUUGUUAUUUUAUUUAUCUUUAUUUUAUAAUAUAAAGCCAUUAAAUAUUAUAAUGCAAAUUUAAAAUGCAUAUAUUGUUUAUCAUCAUUAUUAUGGCCCGCCACUACAAAUUAAAGUGGGAAAUUUGGCAUGCAAGUCAGCCUAUUUUAAACCAUAAAAUAUUUGGCCACUACAAAUUAACCUAUCACAUUUUCAAAAUUUCUCACAUAAGUCAUAUUUAAUAAUUUCACAUACAAAUGACAAAAUCAAAGUAUGAAAUUUUUAAACAUGCACUUUCACAUAUAAUAAGCAUAGAAUAUAACAUUUAAUUAUUUUUGUGACUCGGUUUUGUGGUCCCGAAACCACUUUCCGAAUAGGGUCAAAUUAGAGAUGUCACAUGUGCAGGACAGUUCAACAAAAACCUAGAUAGUGUUUUCAAGCCAGAACACGGCCCUUUCCGGAUCAUCAUAUGCAGUAGCCCUAAAUUCUUCCGCCCCAUGUUUGUCAAUUUUAUCUAUCGAAGGCUUACAAAUUCUGACAAGUUCAACACCCUGUGGUACCUCGGGAACCGGUUGAGGAGCAAGUGGGGGAAGUCGUUUUACAUCGGGGUUUGUUCUCAAAUACUGGGUAAACCAUCCAUUGAUCAUUUGAAAGAAGGCUUGCUUUGCCUCCUCACUUCGGCCCUCAGACACAGGCCUUUCAAUACCAGACGCAGAGGCGACUCUCUAAACUAAAGCUGAAGCUGUAACACCCUUAACCCGUCUCCAUCGCCGAACCAGGGUUAAGAAGUAUUACUAGACAUGACACAACAUUCGAACGAGUCUCAUCAGCACGUAUAUAAUAUCCAAUUAAUUAAAGCAUAUCACUAAUUAAUCAUUAAACAUAUAUCAUAAGUCAUAUUACUAAUAAAACUCAUAUCUCAUAAAUCAAAGGUUCAUACACAUAGGACCAAAUUGGCUAAAACCAUUCUAGUACGAAUAUCAAAUAAAUUUACACUUAACCGCAAGUUAAAUUACCCUUCAUAUACAUAUAAUUAUAUAUAUGACGUAAGUGACUUUACUACUAAGCAACAUUCGGCUUCAUUAAAAUGACAGAAUACACAUACCGUAAAAUUUUACGAGGUAUUACUCACAACAUGUAAUGCAUCAAUAAGCACAACAAAAAUUAAUCCCAAAAUGGUUAAACAAGUUACUGAAACACUUUUUUUUUAUUAAACGUAAAUUCAUCAAAACCAUAUACAUGUCUUUGUAAUUUAUUAAGUCAUAAUACAAGCCUUGAAACCAUAUACAUAUGCGACUCAGGUCAAGGUUAAUAAGGCUCACAUACUUUACACUUUAAGUCAAAUUGAAAAUAUCCACACGGAAAAAAAAAUAAUCAUGCAUAUUCAUAUACUCCUUUAUAAGUUUUUAUCAUUAAGUAUCAUACAUAUGUUUUUACUUGGUCAUUAGUAUUUAUGCGCAUGUGAACUUAAUUAAUUUAAUCAAUUUAUGAACCUAAUUCAUCAAAAUACACACACUUAUAACUUAAGUUAACUAAUAUGCCGACAAUUGCAUAAGCAACACUCAAAUGCAGACAAUGUUCGGACAGCACAAGUUGUAAAUCAUUUAUUAACAUCGUGACCCAAGUUUAGUAGCAUUUUCUUGGGAACCGAAUUUAGACAUACAUUCAUAUUCCAACUAUUUUAAACCAAUAUUGCGUAUCAACUAAAUAAAACCACUGCCACCUUUACAAGAUGUUUACUCCAUAUUGCAUAACAGUUCAUCUUCAAACUCCAUUGCCGAAUAUAUAUCCAUUUAUACUGUCUAGUAUUUAAUACUAUGAUUUUGCCUUCCAAAAUAGAAUUACAAAGUAUACAAACAUCAAUUAUGACAUAUUCAUGCAUUAUAUAAUUAAACACAUGGAUAAAUAUAUAUAUCUCAAACAUUUUAUGCAACCAAUUCAUCACAUCAUAUGUUCUCAAUUAAGAUAUUAACUAAAUACAUCACAAGCUUAUAUGUAUACACACUAAAGUCGAAUCAAAAGUAUCUUCCAACAUUUAUUUAAUUCAACCUUUUUAAAUCUUACCUUUAUAAAGUACCCAGACCAACUUACCUUAUUAUCUAAAUUCAUAGCAACAAUCAAACAAAACAAGCUACACAUAAAUACAUUUAAAUACAUGCCACGACUAAAUUAUCAAACCCUAAGUCAACCUUACCGCAUAUUUUAUACUCAUUCCAUACCAUAAUUUAAUUCAACUAAGACCACAACUAAACAUGUUCACAUCAUAUUCAAACCUUAAAACCGAACACAACGAUUUGUUCAAGCCAUUUUCGCAUGGCUAUAUGAUUUACAAAUCCAAAAUCAAACAUAACAUAUUCUAGCUUAUACAUGCCAUAGUUCCAAAAUGUAACUUAUAAAACACCGAAAGCGUCGAUAGUGUGAUAAGCUUCUCUGACGAUCCCUGAGCUCCUAAAUUGAAUUCAAGAUCUAUGAAACAGAGACAAUUAUACACAGUAAGCUACCUUAGCUUAGUAAGUCAUAAGCAGAUAAACACAUAAGAUAAUAUUAUCAACUUGACUAAACCAAACCAGAGUUAUAUUAUCAUAACACAUGUAGAGCCAAACACGCAUAAACUCAUAUUCUAAGUAUAUAUAUAUAUAUUCAUUUGUAAAUGCCACUUUGGCUGAAUGCCUACAUAACCAUAUUAUCAUAUUGUCGUAUAAUUUCCAAAAUCGAAUAAUCAUUAUAGACCCAAUUCGCAAACCCAUAAGAUUCAUAAGCUCAUGUGUCACUAUAUAAUUUCAUUUUUUUUUGCAACAGUCAAACUGAACUGUUGUCAAAGACAAAACAGAACAGAAACAGAGAAAUAGAAAAAACAGCAGACAAAAUAAAAACACCUACCAAUAAUACUACAACAGCAGAACAACAAUACAAAAACACACCACCAAGCUUUAAACAUUUUCUCCCACUUAAAUCCAGCAAUCACCACGGAAGAUGCCAAUUCGUAACCUUUCUAAUCGGCCACCGAGAGUACAAGUUUACCAGCCUUUAACAUAUCGCCAUCGAUGCUUGCAAAAAUUGCUUUGAGAAGCCAAGGUCUCGUAGCCUUGUUAACACACCACGAACAGACCACCAAAGAUCCAAGUUCAAUAAAUAAUGAAUCAUAAAGUUUCCAGUUCAAAGAUAAAGAAAUUCUAGAGGCACCUUUACUGCAUUAGUCUCGGCCACAACAGCUUCGAUAACAUCCACUGCACUAGAAAAUAAUGCUCUUGCGACACCCUCCUUAUCUCUUAAUACGCUUCCACAAUCAGCUCUCUCCUCUUUUGCAACCCCACACACAAUGAAACUUUAACCAUAUGGAACAUAGCACUGUUGACAUCCCUUUCUUUUAACCAUUACAUUCUUGAUUUUUUACGCCAAAGAGAUUCUUUGAAUUUCAUUGCUUCCCAAAGCUCAAUGUUUAGCUUUUUUAUCUCCUCCAUUUCCUUCUCCGUCAACUUUUUUUAUUCACUUAUUUCAUCAAUCACCUCAAUCCUAUCUUCGCUUUCAAUAAAUCUUUUUUUCCAAAAAAUUGCCAACUUCAACAAUCCAUUUCUAAAGGGCUCCCUUCAAAUUGCGCAACUUAACAGCCGUAAGCCCUCUUACUCCCCCUAUUCCCAGCCAUUCCAUUUUAAAUAACUUCAUACUAUCAUCCUUUUUGAGCCAAGCAUAAUCAGACCUUGACCCCCAAUCAAAAGAUUUGAUAACCAACAAGACUGGAGAAUCUUGAUGAUGAAAAACCCCAAUUUCCAUAUCUUUAUAUUAGCUAUGUGGCCGGUUUUACACAAACACACUACAUAUAAUUAAGACUUAUUCAAUGGUAUCUACAUUGCCGAAUACCCUCAUAAUUACCUUAGCACAUUAUUAGCCAACUUUUCAAAAUCAGUUGGACAUAAAGAAAUUUAGUCCAUACGCACUCAUAUGCGUAAGCUAUUGUACCCAAAUAAUAUUUCAUAUACAUGUUAAUUAUUGUUGAGAAUGGACUGCAAUGCAACAGAAGGCCAUGAUGCAGACCAGCAGCUGCAGCAGACCAGCAUUCAAGCGGGACCAGAAGCAGCUUAAUUAUUUUGUUUACUUUUGUUCAUUUUGUAAUGCCAUCCAAGCUAAAUGUAACUAGACUUUUAGAGUUGUUAAGAUUUGAAUUGAUGGAUGUAAUUGCUAAAAAUUGUUCAGCUUUCUUUUGUGUUACUUUAGUUGGCAACUUGCCAAAACAGGUGGGAGUAGUUACAAGUUUAGGUAACUGACAUUCUAACUUUGUAACUCUUAUAUUUUCAAAUGAAAUGAAAAGAAGCAG